UUUGACUAGGUGUGGCAAUUCAUCCCUGAUCUGCAGAACUUGCAGCUUGAUGAUGUUUUGUUAAUGAAAUUCCAAGUUUACUAACAAGAAAGAAGCGGUAAGCCCUCUAAUCAUGAAAUUUAGGAAAAAAUCAGCAUUUAACCCUCUUCCAUAAAGGUUAAAGUAUCAGUAUGGUAUGGUACCAUAUUGGCACAUCUUACACCUUUUGAUGCCAACACCUCAAACAUGAGUUGAUGUACUAUAUGGCAGAAUUAUCAAGGAGCGCAGUAUACACGUUCCUUACUAGUAUAGUAUAGUAUCUACCAUACAUGCCAAAACUUAAAUUCUUGCUAUCCUUCUUUCUGUGGCCUCUAACGGAUAGUAAUUUGGGUGAGUCAUGCCUUCAUCAAAACAUCAAAAAUGUCUUAAUAUACAAAAUGUCAAAAAAAAGAGAUCUAUUUAAUGCUAAAAUGCCCAUCAAAAUUGAUGUUCGAUUUGAAUAGAGUCUUAUAACUCAAUCUAAAAGGCUAAUUUGGGGUAACUGGAAUCACUUAAUCGAAAGCCCCAUUUGGCUCUUUAAGUGCCCCUCUUUCUAGUUGAACACAAUGGGAAAGGUUUGGGUGGACAACAUUAAUAUUCUAUCUAGUGGUUGAUCAAAUGCAAAUAAUUAAAUCCACAGGCUGAUUUGGGUGUUCAGAAUCAACUAUAGCCCAAAAUCCUCUCUCUCUAGAUAUAUAUAUAUAUAAGUGUCAUCUAGCAUGGCAAAAGACAAUAGAUAAUUUCAAGAUUUUAUCAGGAAGGUUCCCUUUCAGACAUCUCUAUUGUGGUUAAUCCAGAUUCACAAACCUCUCCUCUUCUUCACCGUAUAUCAUGCAUGGAUGGAAGGCAUGGUAGAUUAUGCAUACUAUUUGCUUCAUGGUAAGAUUUGUCUUCUUUGCUCUUCUUUUCCCUAACCUUUCUUCUAGUUUUCUCUUGCUACCUUCCUUCACCAAUUACCUCUCUGGUCCUAAUUAUCACUUCUUUAUCUUCUUAUCCGUGGAGUUGUAGAUCUCUACAUAAACAGUCUUGGAUUCAGCUUAGAUACCAAUGAGUCACCCAUUUUACCUUUUGUUUGCAACUCAUGAACCUCAGUCAUUGCUUUGUUUAAAAUAUUUUCCAGCCUAUUUAUCCGUGGACUUGUUGCAAUCAGUUUCACAUUUCCAUCAUAUUCAAAAUAAAUUCCUUGCAAUUUCUUUUGCUAUUUUUGUUGCUAAGUAUUUAAAUAUCUAGGAGAUUAUUGACCAUACUUUUUACUUUAAUCUCACCCUAAUGUUGUUCAAAGUUAUUAGCAUCCAUUCAUGUAAGAAAAAUGUCAAAAUAGCAUAUGCAUACAUUCCCAAGUUUUUCAUAUGAAAUCAUUAGAGCAGGUUCCUUUCUUCUUAUCUUCCCUUCUUCAACCUCCUAAACAACAUCCUUGAAUAUCAUUCAUGUGUAGAGAUGGGCAUCGGGCCGUGCCGGGCCCGGCCCGGCCCAGGCCCACUGGGCCACAGACCAAAUGGGCCAUGCCUGGCACGGCCUGCUUAACCUAAAGGCUAAGCCCGGCACGGCCCUAGGCCCGUGGGGUGGCGGGCCAUGCCGGGCCCGGCACGGCCCGUCUGUCCAAAAACAAAUAGCUGUUAUGGGUGGCCCAUAACGGCUAUUUUUUUGGCCCAUAAUGGCUAUUUGUGGCUUUUUACCCAUUUUGCCCCUCCCAACAGCCAUAAAACGGCUAAUUUGAGGGGUAUUUUGGAAAAAAAAUUAGAGUCCUAUAAAAUAGCCGUUCCGAGCUAGCCCGCGGGCCGUGCCGUGCUUGGCCCACGAAUCGUGCCAGCCCAAACCCUUAUAGGCCGUACCGGACUCGGCCCGCGGGUCAGAAAUCCUUAACCCAGCCCGGCCCUCUUUUAUGAGCCGUGCCUAGCACGGCCCGUUACUAUAGCAGCGGGCCGUGCCAGGCACGGCCCAAUGCCCACCCCUAUCCAUGUGGAGCUCGCAUGAAAAUUUUCAUAAAGAGUGAUACAAGAAUUGAACUUUGAACCCCAAACAGCUUGGAUAUAAUGGAGAGCUUAAUGAAUAACAUGACUCUUCAGUAGAAGGAUGAAUAAAUAUUCUUGGGAAAUAUUUCUUAAAAAUCUAACAGUAGAUAUUAAACCUUCCCCUUAAAUUCAAGAAUCAAAAUUACAUCCACAUUCAGCGAGCAAGAAGAAUAGACAAGUAAGCAUUGAAGUUUCCAAACAUCAGAUUGAAUCUUCUGGUGACAAAUAUCAACUACCUUCAACUUAUUGAAAGCAUCAAAUUGAGCAAAAAUCACACGAAGACUUAACAAGAAGUGAGUAGUCCAACUCUAGACAAAAUAUCUGCCAAAGUUAAUCGAACAACAAGAAACACAUUCCAAAGUGUCACAAGAAUUUAAAUCCAUAUUCAGUGAAUAUAAAAACCAUAAGCAAGAAUUAAACAAAGAACUUAAAAAUUGCCAAGGGCAUAAUAUAUAAUCUUCUUCCAGCAUCCAUCAAUCCGCUUCAAAAUUCUUGAAAGCGUUACAACAUAAACAGAUAGCACCCAAAAACUUAAAAUUUGAAAAGGAAACAUUAAAGGAAAGGAAAAGAAAAAUCCGAUGCAUACCUUCCGAGAGCUUUAUGAUGCAUAAAGAGCCCCAAGCCGUUGCCAUCCACACCUACAAACCCCAACAUCCCAUAUAAAACCCAAAUUCACAUGCAUAUGUUUCAAAAAGAAGAGAUUUUUUUUUUAUCUUGAACGAGGACAAAGAUCACGAGUACCGGGCAAGAAGAGAAGCAAAGGGGCGUUUUUUAUCGGCGGCCCGCCGUCGACGGGGCAGAACCAGCGGAGGGGGCCCUGGUCGAAUUCCAGCAGAUCACCCACCGCUUGGAGGUAGUCGUGAAGGCUUCCGGCGUUCCGGUAUCCGUCAUCGUACAACGCCUCAAGGCCUUCAUGGCUCGCAUUGAUCCUCCUUCCCCUGCCGAGCCAUUGGUUCCUGCGAUGGAGGAGGCGGCGAAGGGAAAGAGGAGGAGAUCGGGAUGGGAGGAGAGAUGGGCAGAGAGUAAUAAGAGGGAGGGAGGAGGCCAUGGUCGCUGGGCUCGAGCUAGGCUUCCCCGACUCCUUUGGAAUGGUUUCUUUGGAGAAAUCUGUAUUCGUUCCUUUUGUUCUUUGACAGGGGGUUUCUUGGAAUCAUGCCUCCGGGAAGGCCUCCGCGGAGGAUUCACGGGAAUAAUGGAUUCCGUUGGAGAUGAUGACGCCGUGGGGAAAGUGAGAGGGCGUGGAUGGUGUGAGGGUGCAGGCGGACAUUUUCUUCCGAGGUUUUUUUUUUGGGGAAUUUGCUUCGCGGUCUUGUUCCAGCGGGGUCUUUUGAGGGACGGGAAAGUAAUUUCCCGUUUUUUUUUUCCUGGGAGGUUUAAAGCCGACGCAGCGGGAACUGGGGAGGCACCAGUCACGCGAGGAAGGUGAGAAAGGAUGGAUUUUUUUUUCUUUUUCUCUAAAAUAGGUAUUUCAUGUACGAAUUUAUUUAAUAAAAAUAAAAAAUAAAAAAUUACAAAGUGUCCGAAAAUGCUUCCCUCUUCGGCCCAUAUGAUGCCUCUGAAAUGACUAACUAUGUAAGCAGCCACUCAAUCUGCAGCUCCAAUAAUCUCUCUAAAUAUAUACUUAGUCUGAAAGAUCAUUUUAUCCUUUAUCAUCAUCCAAAUAUUUCAAAGCAGAUGAUGAGCCACACCACCAGGUGGGUUAGGACUCAGUUUUACUCGGAAAACAUUCCCGAAAAAUCUGCUUCUAUUUUACUUUCAUUUUUUUUAGAAAAAUCUAAGAAGAAAAAAAAUUACGGUGGAAUAAUUUUUUAUUUUUUGAACAAAAUUCUUUAAAAAAAAUAUAAAAACGUCAACGAUGAGUCGAUGACCAACAGGCACCUUAUUUUAUUAAUAGUUUGUUUCUUUAAAAAAAUUAACAAACUUAGAAAACUUAUAACUAGCUUUCAAAAUAACUUUUUUCUAUGAGAAACCUUUAUUUUUCCUUCUCAUUAUCUUGCAAAUUUUGCUUCUAAUCCGCAUUCACAGCUUGGCUGCUGAUUUGCAUAUACGAUAUGUGUUUAUAUAUAAUCUUGCUUAGAUAUAUAGUUUGAAAGAAGAGGGUAGUAAAAUGUUCAACCAAUAGAGGAUGUACAUAAGAUGACAGUCAAUCCAAAGGAUGAAUCGCAGUAAAAUAUGUAAUGAGCAACCAUGAUUCUCUAUCUUAUAUAAAAAGUUUAUUCAUUAUGUAACUGUUUAGACAACAUCUUGAUGCUUGGGAAUCAUUGUACAUAUGGUGGCUAUACAGUAUGACUAGAUAGUAACUCCAAAACCUUGAGCUAAGAUCUAAAGCUAGUAAUUGAGCAGAUGGCAAGUAAAAAUGAUGUUCGAUGUACCGAAGUGAAUCAGUACAGUAUAGAAAAAGCUAAUCAACCCAGUCCAAAGACAUUCUCAAAGUGCAAAGGACCGUGUUAUAGGCCGAUUAGAGGGGGAUGGCCAAAUCAAACUAUUAUAGGAUAGGCCGAAUGGAGGCUAGCAACAAGUUGAGACUAAUUGGGUAUGAUUAUCGAUUUGAUAUGCGGUAUAAAGUUUAGCCAUUUUGAUGAAUAUGUGUAGCGGAAGGAUGGGUAGUGCAAUUAUCAAAAUUACUAAAAGUGGAGGCCAAACAUGGACUGUUAUGGAGAGUGGGCAGUUGCUAUGUUGUUUGCUUUUUAAUAUAAAUAAGUGAAUUCUACUCUGAAAAAAGAACCUUUUGGGCAUAUCAAUGAAUCCAAUUUAUCUUUAAUUAUCUUUGCCUUACCUUUAGUUUAUCUUGCUCAUAGUUUACUAGUAGGACUCUACUUUACCCUUAGGUGUAGCAGUAGCAAUAUAUCUCUUCGAUCAUAGCCUCCACUAUAUCCUAUCCAAUUCUAUUCAUCUUCUUUCAUAGUAGGCGAAGUGGUGGUAGCAAAAAAAGUUAUUAAAAGUCAAGGCAUCUGGAACCACGUUGCUCUCAUUAUCUUUCUAUAAUCAUCCUAUUUUUGGCUAAUCCAACGUUGAUGGAACGUUGGUGCAUGUACCCCUAGCCAUGAGACAUGUUAAAUAAGCUUUCUGACAUACCCGUAUUCAGCUGCUCGAAAAAUAGCAACCUAAUAUUUGCAUUCCAACUUAUAAGAAAUUGUUCCUCUCCUAUACAGUAAGAUAUUUAUUCCAAAGAUAGAAAUGCAUGAAUAACACAAGAACAUCAUAAGAGAAGUUACACAAAUUAACAUCCAGACCUCCUGAAAAUAAAAAAAACUAGGUUCUCACUGUAUCCAAGGGAUUUCUUGAGGAAAAGUAGCAGCACUUUUAUUCUAAAUAUUGUAACCUGCCCUGGUGGCAUUGUGAUGUUUCUUUCCAAAUAUGUGUAAUUUAUUUACUUUAAUAAUUUUUAUUUUUAUCGAAGAGUUUCACAUCUUAUAGGGUGCUUCUUUUCCAAACAGUUCAAUUAAGUGCACAAAUCGAUCACCUGAUUUAAUGGUUCUUUUACAGAGCUGCCUACUUGAAGCACACCUUUAUAUAGACUGGUGAUUAAUCUUCUAAAUUGCUUCAAUAAGGAUCACAGCAAUGGUAGGAAUAAUUCCGGGUUGCAGGAAAAAAGGCAUUUAGCAGGACUAUUAUAUUGGUAAAUGCUUAAGUUGAGGCAACAGGUGGCUGCUGACCUCCAAAAGUGCAUUUAACAAUUAAAAAAAAGGUUUUUUAUACACAAAUUUUCAACAUAUUAAAUAUUGCAAUACUACUUUGUCUAACAAAUCCCUUGAACCUAUGUCCAGUGAAUAAUGCACUUCUGUAUAAAUACUACAACAGUAUGAAAUUUAAAAAUGAUAUACAUAUACAUACGAAAUGAGGAAUUAAAUGAAGAAUAUGCUGCACAAGUUGCUUGAUGAUAUUUUUGUCACCAAAGCACAACCAUACUCGAAAUGUGGGUCAAAUUCAUGGUAAUAGUGGAGAAAAACUAUUAAAUGAUUUCUCCAAGCUGUUUGUGUUGGAAUUUUUCAUAAGGUGGGCUUCCAUUGAUUAUAAACUGAUUUUAUUUUGAUUUAUAACAUAAUACAGACUAAAUUGUCGUCUAAAUAAAUAUUUAAGGAGUCCAUAAUUAUUGUGAUCAUAUGAUUAUUUUGGGUUUUAUUGUCUCAGUCGUGUGAUGUAGUGAAUAUUAUUGUAGGCCUAAUUCGGUUAAUGAGCUCUAUAAUGGGUAGACCCAUUAGCAUCACUAACUAAUCAAGGUCCUUACUCCACUUCUAUAUAUAUUUAUUUGUAGAAAAAAUUCUAAGGCAUCAAGAUCAUUACAUUCUUAGGGGGUGCCUAUUCUAUUGAGGAGACAUGCAUCAAGAAAGAGGAGAGAAAGAUCAACCCCAUUUUUGUACUUUUUUCUUCCAUAGAAUAUUGCUGCAACCCAUCAUCAAUGGCUGAUCAGGGCUCUUAAAGUAUACUUCAAUCUUUUCUGGUUUGAUUUAUGACUUUUCUUUGUGUUCUACUCUCCUGGAUGGUGACCAUGAAAAUCCCACAACUCGUUGAAAAACUCAGAAGGGCCAUCCAAUUGCAACCAAUAAUAGUAGAUAAAUAAUAUGACCAAUGAACAUUUGAUUUUAGCAUACAUGAGAAACACAAGAAUAAAACAUGACAUCAAUGUGAUAGAAUAUUACUUGUAGAAUUUAUCAUACCAAUUUCCAUAAAGUGGUCCCUUGAAACAAGACCACAGAACCAUAGGAGUCAAAAUAACCUAUCCAAUAGAACUAUCAAGAAGAAACUCAAGUAUAUGUUAAUAUGCAAAACAACAUGAAAGGGAUAGGAACUUGAGAAUCUGUGUCAUAACAAGUAAUAGGUACCUCUAUUAAUUAUAAAAUAGGCGAACAAUUCAUGCUUUGCAGAUUAGGGAUAAAUAGGAAUCUGUAAACAAGUACUCUAACUCAUAAUAGCCAAUUCAAACACAAGUGUUACAAGCAGCUAGAAAUGGUAAUAAAUCAAGUAAUAGGAACCUACAUAAACACAAAUAAACCAACAAUCCAGCCAUUAUACAUAAGGAAUAGGAACCUGGGAGCCUAUGCCAAUAACAAGUAGUAGGCACCUACCUUUUGGACAGUAAUAGGAAUAUGUGAACAAACAUCAUAACUCACAAUAGCCUAUUCAAACUUAGGUAUCACAAAGCAACUAAAGGGCCUGUUUGAAUGAUUGGGCUGAAAAUUCUAUAGGAUUCGUAGGUUGAGCCAGUACAGUUAUCAAAAUUAUAGGAUUACAUGCCGGGCUAAGACUAUAUUCAUAAACACCCAGGAGUACUCUUGGAGUGAGCCAACCCCAAUGCCAUAGCUUGGUUGCCAAAUACUACUGCAAUGGGCCAUCUAAUGACUACAGCCUCCAUGAAUAAUACUUGCAUGAAAACAUAAUCAACCAUGAUCUAGGUCACAUUUAAAUAUAUGUACAUAGAAAACUACAAAUAACAUAGUAGCUGUCAUAUUGCUUCAGUUGAAUCGAGUUUCAUUAAUUUAUCUCCUGAAUAUUGAACAUCAAGCUACGAAUGUCGUUAGCUACUGCAACUGAUCUGCACCCUCAUAUUGCUGUAUUUGUUCAUAUCAUCGAUACAUCUUUUCUUAGCUCAAGUUAUCAAACCUUGCUGAGAAUGGCAUGUCAAUGAUUAGAGCACAGAUAAACACAGCUCUGAUGUAACUUGAAUGCAAAAUCUUUUCGCAUUUUAAUGAUGAAUUGCUAAGAACCUCCAUGGGAGCGAAGGAUCACCCAAGAAUAACAUAGAUUGAUAUAGAAUGUUUUACCAUGUAUAUAUGUUAUUUGCGAUCUCAAUUAAAACCCUAGAUGAGCCGAUAUGAUGCAUGUAGGUAAAUUAAAUCUGCUAGAACUAAACUCGUGCUAGCACAUAGAUCAAGCACCAAUUAUUGACCAUACCACCUAUAAUUUUCUUAUAAUAACUAAUUUGGUUGGCCUAGCCUAUGGCACGACACCAGACUAAGCAAAUCCAUCUAGAAAUCAAAACAUUUUAGGCUUGUAUUGAUCACACAAAACAGGAUGAGUCCAUAAGCCUCUUACCCAUCAGAAAAUCCACUCACCAUUGUUGAUUAACCUGUUUGCUGCUGCGAGUGCCCAAUACUGGUACAAUGCGCCAUCCAACAACUAUGGUCUCCAUGCAUAAUACAUGCAUGAAAACAUAAUCAACCAUGGUUUCUAACACAUUUAAAUGCAUAUACAUUGAAAACUAUAAAUAGCAUACUAAUUGUCACAUGUCCCCGGCCCCUCAAGUCAAUCUAGUUUCAAUAAUAUGUCUCUUGAAUAUUGAAUAUCAAGCAAGGAAUGUUGUUAGGUACUUCAAUUAUAUAAUUUGCAUUCUCAUAUUCUUGUAUUUGUCAAAUCAUUGAUACAUCUUUUCUGAGCUCAAGUUAUCAAACUCUACAAAAGAUGACCCAUAUCAAUGAUUAGAGCCAACAUGAAGACAGCUCCAAUGUAACUUAAAUGCAAAGUCUCUUCACAUUUUAAUGGUGAAUUGCUAAGAAACUCCAAAGGUGUGAAGGAAAGAUCACCCAAUAGAAACAUAAAUACAGAUUUUUUUACAAUGUAUAUAUAGGUAUAUGUGGCCUCUAUUAACACACUAAGGACUCCUUUGGUUUGUGAAAAAAAAAAUUCUCGCUAAAAUAUUUUUUUUGAGAAGCUGAUGCCUAGGUAUAUGAUGUCUCGGAAAGUGAUUUUUGCAUAUUUGGUUGGUAGAGCAUUUACUUUCCUAAGAAAGUUGUGUAAAAUACAUAUUAUACCGUUAAAAAAAAAGUCCUUACCACAUUCUAUCUAAAAGCUUAAGGGUAUUUUGAAAAAAAAAUAUCUCAAUUUUUGGUAGGUGGGAAUUAGACUUUUCCAUAUUCCGUAUGAAUUUUUUUUCUCAUGAAAUAUGAAAAUCUUAUUCCUACAAAAACUCUAUUUUUUUUUUUGCGGCAUUACUAUAUUUUUUUCCAUUGACCAUAUUUUUUUCUUUCCUCUUCCUGUAAAUCAAAAGAGUUCUAGGAUGUUGUAAAUAGAAGUUGGACGACUGAACACCACACAUGUAGGGCUCGUUUGGUUCACGGGAAGCAUUUUUCCUCCUAGGAAUAUGAUUCUUGGGAAGCAAAUUUAUAGGAAGAAGAUGCCUAGAAAGUACUUUUGGCAUAUUUGGUUUACCAUGGAAAAGUGACAAAUUUCCAAAGUGCUUAUGUUUGGUUGACCAUCUACUUUCCUGGAAAAGUUAUGUAUAAUUCCUAUUAUACCCUUAAUAAAAAUUGGAUCUUUAAUGCUUCUUUAAUGCUAAAGGGUCUUUUUGGAAAAAAAAAUAAAAAUGGAGUGAUUUCCGUCUUAUGGGAAAGUAACUUUUCCAUGUUUCUCAUGAGAAAGACAUUUCCAUGAAAUAUGGGAAUCAUAUUCCCAUGGGAAUCCAACUUUUCCGUCUUUCUUCUUUGAAAACUCCAACCAAACAAAAGACAUCUUAUUACUUUUCCGUUGACCAUACUAUUCCCCCUUCUUUUUCUGCAAACCAAACGAGUCCGUAGGUAAAUUAAAUCCACUACAACUCAUCUAUAGUUUUGUUGUCAUAGCUAAUUUGGCUGGCUUUCCCUAUGGCCGAAUCCAGUUACCAAUCGGAACAUUGAAGGCUCGUAUAGAUCUACGCCUAACAUGCACUCACUAACACGUUAAAUGCUGGACCAGUCCACGCCUAUUUACUCCCCAUCCAACGCCCAAAUCUGCGCCCAUUCAUAGUUGCCCCCUUUGUAGUUGGCUAUGCUCACCACCCCGUGAGGAUAACUCAAUUAAUGCCUUUUCUCAGCUGACAACAUGUAAUAAUGCACUCAUUCUUCUCUAAAGAGUGUGUGAGUGACCUAACCUAUAAACAAAAAUAAUUAAAUUCUCGUCAGUUGUGCAGUUCUAACUAGCUUGCAUCUAAUUCAUUUGGAAGAACAAAAUGCUACAUGAAUUCUUUUUUACUUCUCAAAAAUAUCGUGUAUCUAUGUUAUAGAAAUUUUCUGUCACGAGGUAUGGAUCAUUUCUCUGAUGCUACAUAUAGAUAUAUGCUUGCAUGUAUUUAGUAUGGAGAAGCUCUCUCUCAUAGUAUUGUAUAUAGUUUAGAGAAAUUAUAAUUAGUUUAUUAAAUUUAAUUAUGAUCUCUAUUUUAUAUUAAUUUGAUUAAAUGGGUUAGGCAUGUUAUUAUUAUUACUACUGUUCUAAUUGUUCUAAAAUAUGUAUUUUAAUAUUCUUGUAAUUUGGAAAUUAUAAUGGGGCAAAUUAUUAAAUUUGUUUCAUAUAUAUUCUCACCUCAUCAAUGGAGAUUAUUUGUUGGCCCUGUCGACUUAUAAUCUAAGAAACUGGUUUCGUCACUAAGCCACAUGUGAUUAGAAUAGUAUUAUCUAUUAUCUGGCACUUUGUGCAUCAUAUAUCUGACCCAUGCCUCUAGGUUACAUGGUCAUAGCGUGAUUUUGGGUCUCUAGUAUUAGUUUACGAAAAUAAGAAUAAUAAUACAUUUCAAAAGAGAUAUAUAUAUAUAUAUUAUUUAAAAAUUAAUUUAUUUCAAGUUAGUAUUUUGCUAUUUAAUUAUUUAAUUGGCAUACUUAGACCCCACUUUGUUGUGUUAUAUUGUUUACUGGGCUAGUGUAGCUUAUUAUUCUAUCCAUUUCUAUUUUUCAGAUCCUGACCAAUGAUUGCUUGGGACUUGGGCGAGUGUGCUAUCUUCUGAAGAUAUUCGUGAUUAUUUGGAUUUCUAGUUUACCUUAGUUAGACUAGUUUAGUUUAGUUUGAGCAUUUUAUUCGAUUUGAAUUAUAAUAAUUAAUUAGCAUAUUUUGACUUAUGUUGCUUCGAAAUAAUUGAUUAUGAGAAUGAUUUGUUUUAGUUCAUGAUUAAAUUAAUUUUUAAGAAUUGAAGAAUUAUUAUUGUUUUAAGAUUAUAAUAUGAUCUGUAGGCUUGCAUGCUUAUAUGGUCCGCCAUAUAGGUAUGCGGCGUCUGUUAUGCUCUUAGUUUGAGGCGUGACAGCAGGUUGAUGGAAUAAUGGACGGUAAGCUUACCCCAAAGCCAAAGGUGAUCCAUUCUCUUUUAACUCUAAUGUACAAAUAGACUUCUAUGCAUGCCUUCAUUAUAGAAGAGCUCUCCUCUCUCUCUCUCACACACACACACAAACACGCACAAUGGAGUCCAGGGUGAAGCCUGGUUUAGAUGGAACUCAAGGGACAAGGAACCAAGUGAAGGAAGACGGGGUUGGAACGCCGAGAACGGUGAGGAUAUGCGACGCGGUCCUCCGUCUCGUCGCCCUUGCAGCAACACUCAUAGCAGCGGCCGUGAUCGGCACGGCGAGGCAGACAAAGACGGUGAACAUCCAGGUGUCUCCGACUCUCCCGCCGUUGCCCCUCACGGUGGCGGCCAAAACAGCUUAUUCCUCCGCGUUUGUGUAAGCCACUUCUGCUUCAAAGUCCAUAUCAUCAUGCUUGCAUGCCAUUCUCUAUUAUUUAGACCUUAGAUCUUAAUUAGAGGAUUUGUUCAUUCAUUUCAAGCUCUUUGCGUGGUGCAACCCUCAAAACAAAAAGGUUUUGACAAAUAAUGUCACGGUAGAUAGUGUUAAAAUAAUAAUAAUGAUAAUAAUUUAUUGUCUUCAAAAAAGAAUGAGGAGAGUGAGUCUUAAGGAUAUCUUUAAAGUUCUUAGAAAACCGGCAGAAGGCUUAUAAUGAAGAAAGUUACUGAAAAAAAUUCAGAUAUCAAUCACGUUUUGCAACAAAACCCAGUAAAUUUGGAACCGAGAUCUCGCAUCUAAUCAUGAUUUUGCAGAAAUAUAGAAAAACAGAAUUGAAAAAAUAAUUGAAUCCUUUAUCUAUCUUUAUUUAUGUUGGUUUUUUCUCUUUACAGCAUUUUAAAAAAUGAACUUUUUAUAUGAGUGCUCUUUUCAUUUAAUUGUGACGGAGUCUCUCUUAAAUAUUUACUAAAGUGUUUAAAAUGAACAUAUAAAAUAUAAAUAUAAAAUAUAAGUAUUUAAAAUAUUUAUUUAUUUUCUUUACACUUUAUAUUUAUAAAGUUCAUUUACUAAAAUGAACUUUGUAUGUUGCUGUUAUUCUGAGUUUUCAAUAUUUAAAGCAACGAGUCCAUGUUACAUAGUACGUAGUUGCUAUUUAAAAGCUAGUGAAAAUUAUAUACUAUUGCCUCUCAAUUCCCAUGUGGAAUUCUGCAUGUCGAAUUAAAUACCAACUACUUUCUCCUUAUCUAACCUCAACUAAUGCCAUCUUCACUGAUUCAGUAUUUCCCUUUGUUCCACGCCAAAUUAAAUGCCAACUACUUUUUAUCACCUCAAUUAAUACCAUCUUUCUCCAUCUCUAUCUCUAUUAUAUCUCUCUACUACUAGAAUGUGAAUUAUUAGGGUUUGACAAAUGGACUCCAUCCUAGAGUUGGACCGCACUUAAUUUAUUUAAUAUUAUAUGCAACCUAAAUGGAAUCCAUACUCGUGCACUCAAAUGGGUUAGAUGUGAGGUUGCAUGCAAUGUACGUAAUUUGUAACUCCAUGCAGCAACUACACUAAUGCACUUAUUAUGUUUAAUGUCACGAGAGGAAUAAGAGGAGAAGCAAAUAAUCAAAUUAGGAGCAAAUGGAAUCAAUUGAGAGGAACAAAAUAAAUCUCUAAAAGAAAUUUAUAUUGAUGCACAGAUUUUUUUUCUUCCAGUCUAUUGGAGAGAACCCUAUGAUUUAUAAUGGAUAUGAUCACCAUCAUAUGCAAGAAUAUUACUUCUUAACAAAUCAUGCAAGAUAAGAAUUUUUUCACUAAUACACAUCAUUUUAAGGCUGACGCUGACCAUGAGAAAUCCAUAGGUAAGUAGGCAUGUAACUCAGUCUUCUCAUGUAAUUAUUGNNNNNNNNNNNNNNNNNNNNNNNNNNNNNNNNNNNNNNNNNNNNNNNNNNNAUAUAUAUAUAUAUAUUGAGUUUGAUAUAUAAAAUUGAACCAUCACGUUCACAAUUAGAUUAUCCAAGUCUUAAUUUAUAUGUCCAGGAUCUCAUCAACUUUUAAAAAUCUUGCCUUUUGCUUCUUAUGGGAGGUGGAAUUCAUGGCAAUUUUCACUUUUAAAUUGGACUUGAGCCAUUCAUGAGGCAUGGAUUUGUUUGUUUUUUUUUUUUGUAUGAGGCAUGAGUUAGGAGUGGCACUCUACCAUUACCCUUCAUUUGUGAAUUAAGGGCCUUAUAUAUUGCCCUAGUCUGCAACUUAUGUUACCAUACUACAUUCCUCCUUUUCUUUUGAAAAGGACAAUGAAAUCCAGUUCCUUAGUUCUUGAAUUAAGACAACUCUGUGGCCCAGGCUGGUCCCUAGCUAAAGUGUAUUGCAUAUGCCCUGCCCACACCUUGUGGCAACUGACUUGUCUUGUCUACCCUCAAACAACAUAUAGCUGAGCUUUGUGUUUGAUAAUAUGUCAUGUGUUCCUGGCUUGUGAGGCUGGCUUACAUGAAGCAGUCUGACAAUUUGAGAGAAGUAGCAACUUAUUAUCAAACUUAUUUCUCUACUUACAGAUACUUUCUCAUAGCCAAUGUGAUCGCAUGCGUGUAUUCUGCUAUCUCAUUAGCGACAUCGACCGUAAAGAGGGAUAGCAAAAGUAACAUUGGAUUAUCGUUAUCCAUCAUCGACAUAGCAAUGGUGGCUCUCCUCUUCUCAGGCAAUGGAGCUGCGCUGACCUUCGGAUUGUUGGGCAAGCAUGGCAACUCGCAUGUGCAAUGGCAAAAGGUAUGCAAUGUGUUCGGGAAGUUCUGUCUCGAUGUCGCAGUUUCUAGCAUGGUGUCAUUGCUUGGAUCUGUGGCCUAUGUGCUUCUAGUCCUGCUUGCUUUAGUUAGCCUACAUAAGAGAUCUCCAUAAGAUGGAGAAAAGAAAUGUUGUAGUUCUAUAUGAUGUAUGUGAUCAUGGAUAAUAAACAAACUAUCUCUAUGUCCUCCAGCCUGUGUAUGCCAAAGAUUGAGUAGGGCAACUUACUGACAUCAGUUUGAUGCCCUCAUGUUAAUUAGGCUCAACAUUACCCAAGCUGUGAAACUUGUCCACAUAGCAAGGCUGUGAGCUCCUUUCUACAAUAACGUAUUCAACUUUUGGAAUGUUGUCCUUCUUGAUUUGAUGAUGCCCUUUAUUUAUUUUAUCAGUUUUCUUCUGAGGAAGAAAAAUCUCAUGAGUGUUCCCAAUGUUUCUCUUCUCUAGAGUGAUCGGCAUAAUUGGUUAGCAAUCGAGCGCAAUUGGGAUCUGAUACAAUGCAAUUGAGCACACUCAGAAGGCACAAUUGGGCAUAUUAAUGGAUUCGCCUGGUCCCAUGAAUGCUCACUCACUGUGCAACUAAUGGGGGCAUCAAAUUGGAUGAGUUGGGAUCCUCGGUGGUGCAUGUUUUGCACUAUAAAGAGCUAUAGUGACUUCAGGAGCCACCACAUCAUCCCAUUGUGGAGAUGGAUGGCACGGUGUGAUGUGCGUUGGGUGCCAGAAAAUCAUCCAUCUCCACACUGAAUUGACAAGGCGGCUAUCGAGAGAUAUAUGACCCUCUAUGCGGCAAAACAUGCACCUUAGAGGAUCCAAACUCUGGGUUGAACCAUCUAAUUCAAUGCCUCAAUUAGACAACCUAAGAAGGUCCAAAAUAGGUGAGAAAGCUAUGUUCUCAUUGCUUGAGUCAAUCUUCACGGAGCGGUAUAUAACUAUCUCGAAGUUUUGAGACCCAAGCCAAGCCAAAUCUUAAAUUUUAAAUACUACAAAAUUACCAAUCUUUCUAUCACAAGCAAUUGUAAUCAUUACGUUUAGCUAAAUGCAUCAUAAAUAUUGAAGCAAAACCUCAUUUACUAAAUAUUGGGGUCUUACAAUAAGUCUCCACAGAAGAUGGAUCAAUGAUCCAAUGGCUCUUGAAAUAAAAUAUCUUUGCCAAUUCCUUACGUCGUCUCUUUUCUCAAGUACCACUAGUCUUCUAUUCUUGGAUCACAUUGUAAAACUUCCUGAUUCCACAUUCCCAUGCCUUCGACUGAAAAAAGAAAAAUCAACUAUUUCAAAAACAGGGUCCAUUAUUCACUGGACUCAUUUAAUAUUUUUCUUUUUGUUCUUUCCCUACUUUUCUACAAUCAUUUGUUCGCUUUUUGUUAUCUCAGUAGCAGGGAUCCCACCAAAAAAUCAAAUAACAUUAUAAAAAAUUAUGUUAUUUGUUAUUUUAGCCGUUGAUUGAUUCUUUUCUGGAUAAAAACAUGAAAAAGCUUAUAAUGUUUUCCAAGAAAAAGAAAUCUUUUAUAAGGAAUAACAUCAUUUGUGCUGUUAUGAUGGAAUAGAAGAAUGUAACAGAACAUUAAGGCCAUAAUUUCUCCAAUCUCAGAAACUGAUGAAUUUCUCAAAACAAACAUUAUUGGUUUAAUAAGCAGUGAAGUAGUUUUAUGGCAGCCAUUGUUAUAUACUUCAUUUUAAUAUAAUUGCAAGGAAGUAAUAAUAGCUCUAAGUAUAUCAUAAAGCGAACUCUCAGGUGUUGUGGAAUUGAUCAUAACAUUCUACCAUCCCUAUCUUCUUCUUUUUUAAAGAUAUUUUUAUAAAUAUAUACUUCUUGUUAAAUGCAUCCCUCUUGUUUAAAAUCCACUGACUCUUUCUCUGUUUAAGAAAACCCUCCCACUUCCCCUGUUUCAACCGUCAAGCCAUUCUCUCAUCCUCCUCUUCCUCUUUCCACCUUACCUUGCCAAUGUUUGUUUUCCUUCCCUCAACUCUCUUCCUAUCACUCUACCCAUGCCCACUUCACAUCUCACUUCUCUAGCCCUUCUCUACUAAAAUUAGCAUCCCAGUGCCCAAGACUCCUUGUCACUAUGGAAUCUAGAGAAUUCGCUAGAUAUAUACAGCCUUAUCUUUGCAUGCCGAAACGUUAUUUCUGUGUUUCAAACUUGUGACCCCCAGAUCAUAAUGGAGCUAGCAAUCUUACCAUUACACCAAGACCCAUCCUCGUUUUAGAUCUCCACUAAUUCAAACCAAAUCUUGUAAAGAGAACACAGGUCAGUAUAGAUACAUGGCAAACAAGUUUUAAAUGAUUUAUUAUAUAUGUUUUAUAAGAUGGUGCAGUAAAUAGGAGAUACAUAGGUAUAGAGCUUUUACAAGAAGAAAAGAUGAAAAGGUACGUUGAUUUGGACUAGGGAGCGAAAAUUUUUGGUUAGAGGUAAAACAAGCCCUUUUACAUUAGAUAGUAUUAGUAUAAUUUUAGAAGUUACAUAACAACCUAUAUCACCCAUAAUAUAUUUUUUUAUUAGCGUGAUCCCAUAUCAAUCUAUAAUUUUUUUUUGUUAGCACGAUUUUAUUAGAGUGAUUUUAGAGAUCACAUGACAAUAUAUAUCAUUUAUAAUAUUUUUCUUUGUUAGCAUAAUCAUAUAUUAACCUAUAUUAGUUUUCUUGUAUGGAGUCUGUAUACGAGUAUAUAUAACUCUUGAGAUGUACCGAAUAUGAUGAAAGAGAAGUAAAAUCACUUUUCUCUUUCUUUUUUCUCUUGUUUUUAUCUUUCUCUGCAAAUAUUUUAACAAACAGUAACAAAUCAAAAGAGCCUUCUGCUAUCCUACCUGGAGACACUCGAUGCACUACAAUAGGUUUGUUUAAGGUACCCGCUCCCAUUCGUCUUACAAAACUUCCUUGAGAGAAGGAAGAACAAUAUGCCAUCAUUUCAAUAUUUAUUUAACUUCUUUUUCACCGCUACCGCUUGGUGUUAUGCGAGAUAGCAAUUAGUUCUUCUAGUCGAUCUCAACCUUCCNNNNNNNNNNNNNNNNNNNNNNNNNNNNNNNNNNNNNNNNNNNNNNNNNNNNNNAAAGAAAGUGAAUUCCGUUCCGUCACCCACGCUUUAGCUUCUUAACAUGUGAACUAUUGAGAUAAAAAAAAAUUAAUGAAAUGUAUAGAAUGUUCGGUCUUUCUUUGAUCGGAUUCUAACACACGGCUUGACCAUUAGCAUUUAAUUUUUAGUUCUCCACAUACUUAUGCAAGAUUUUUGCACACACACUUAUAAUUAUCUUGUACAUACUUAUAAUAAUUUUUGUGCACAAUUAUACUAUCCUCGUACAUAUUUACCUCUGUGCAUAACACAGUUAUUUGUAACUGCAUAUAUAUUGAGAUUUAAUUGUGUGAAGUUGCUAGGGGCUGAAAAUUAAAGAAGCUUUGAAACUUGGGAUUGUUUGUAAAAAUUGUAGUAUGGUCGAUAAAAAAAAGGGCUACUAAAUACACCUUUCCUUUCGUAUGCAAUGCACUUGCAAAGACCGUGUUAUGAUGUUACUUUGGCCUUUAUUUUUAGCCUUGGCCUGUAAAUGUUGCUCGACAUCAAAUUGAGCUGUCUUUGAGUUAUUGUCCUAGAUUACCACCAUUUUCUUAUCCAUCUCGGAGAUGGAUGGCAGACAAAUGGCUAUUACUCAUCUCUCGUGUGCAUCAUGUUUGAUACUGAACGUGAUUGCUUAAAUUCUCGAGAAAGCGACAAUCAUCCAUCUUCGAAAUGAAUGACGUGGCAGCUAUCUAAAGUUGUACAAUCUUCUACGAUCGCCAAACGAGAGAUUGCAUGAACCCAAAAAGAGCUCCAUAGUGCCUCUUCUUAGUCUAAUCAAUGUUGUGUUUUUUGAGAUAAAAAACCAUUUAAGGGACUAUAAAUCUUUAAAAAAGGUAAUAGUUAACUACAUGAGGAAUCAAAACAGGCUAAUGAUGCACCCUUGCUAGGCCCUGCACGUUCAGACAUUCUCCUUGCUUUUCUAGGCAAAAUAUGUCAUCAGAGACCAUGGGACUAGGUUUCCUUAACAGGCAUCGCACCCUCGGACCACCAUCAUCACCUCUUUCCAACUUAAGAGACUCUAUCAUACCGUGACAAACCCUCUCGUCUCUCCCUUUCUAACCCCAUCCAAUUAAAGAGUUAGUAGUAGGAAGUUUCACCACCUUGUAGGUGUGAGUGCCAAGAGUUGUUGAGAUUGCAGUCUUGCAGAGAGCCAUAAGAAGAAGCAAUGGAAGGGGACUUCCCUGAGGCUACCUUAACCAAUUUGCUGGAGGCCAGCUCUCAGAGAGAGAAGGCAUCGAUGAGCAGCAAGAACAAUGUGCUCUACGUCGAGCGCAACCGAAGGGAGAAGAUGAACGACUUCUACACCAUGUUGCAGUCCAUGGUUCCCAAUCUCUUCCCUAAGGUUGAGCCACACUCUCUCUUUUUUUUCUUUUGCUAUCAUUUGGUUAUAAUUAGAAGUAUUUCCUUUUUUCCCCUUAUCUUUGUAGUUGUUCUUAGGUUCUUUACGUUGCAUGAAAAGAUCAGCUUUUCUCCUUGCAUUUUGAGUAACUUGCACAAAUAUAUAACCUCAGCUAUUACUUGUGUUAUAAAGUAAAGAUAAAUAUGACAGUGUUAAUAUUCCUUCGCUUUUGUUACACUUAUGUCUGAAAACUGUCAUUCUUCUGCUGAAAUUUCUCUGGUUGUAUAACCAACUAGCGUUCAUUUCAAUUGAAUCUUGAGGAUCGAUUACAGGAAUGACACCUCAAUGGGAAUCAAAAUGCAGGCAACAAGAGCAAGGAUCGUCGGCGAAACUAUAGCGUACAUUAAAGCUCUCGAAGAAGAGAUCAUAACACUUGAUGCAGAGAAGGUGGCAAGAGAAGCGUCGAGCAGAUCCACCGCAUUACGAAUCACCCGAAGCAGUUCCUCUGUCGAUGUUACCGUCUCCGGCAACGUAGCAUUCUUUGGAGUAUGCCUUGUGUCUCGGCCGAGGCUGUUGACACAAGUGCUGGAGGUGUUUGAGAAGCACAAGGCUGAGGUCUUGUCCUCCACUGCUGCAUGCCAUGAUGGAAAUGCCACCAUAACGGUCACUGCAACGGUGGCGGAGCAAGAGGCUGUGGAGAGGAUUAAAGGAGACCUCAUGAUCAUAUAAUCCUAAGACUAGCUUCCACACCUGUGCUUCUUUCUCUUUUUUUUUCAAAAAAAAAAGAAAAAACAGAUGCAUCUAGUUUGGGACUAGGGCUUAGUUGAGUUGAGUUGUAGUCUUGUAGACACAAAUGCAUGGGAAUGGAAGAACAACAAUAUGAUAGUAUAUAUGCAUAUAUUGGAAAAGGAAACGAUAUGAAAAGAAUACGGUUUUAGUCUUUCAUGGACUGAUGAGGAGAAACAUUUACUCCGUUGUUCUCAAAAGAGUCAAAGUUGAUGUCAGUGUCUGGAGCUGAAAAUACUGAUCGAGCUUCCUUUUGGAUCGGUUCCAACCUACUCUCUCUCUAUAUAUGGAUGUCACGCGUUUUCCAAAAGAAGGGGAUGGUUACUAAGUUCAGAAGGGUCUAAGCGUUGAGCACUGUCAGGUUUUUGCGGCGCAUGAGGUUCUUCUUAGUUGUUUAGAGGCCAACUGCACUAUCUUCGUCUCAGCCCCAUAUCAAAGAUUUAUGAUUUGAAAAUUUUUAAAUUUUGAAUUCUGUAUUCCAGAUUUCGAAUUUUAAACUUUGAAUUUUGAAUAGCAUAUAUUUGGAAUUGAUCUUAAAGACGCAUUUGUUAUUUCUUUCAAUCUUUGCAUCAUCCUAUUUGUAAUACAUGAUUACCACUUCAUAACAUUGAGAUAGGAAUUUUUUCAUGAUAUUUUCUUUUCACAUAUUCUUCUUUCGAUAUGGUAUCAAAAAUUUUCAAAUCCGAUAUCCUAAUACUUUCAUUGAUGGCUUAUGGGCCAGGAAUAGGAGCCGGAGCUAGAUAAGCAAGGAUUGCCUCCACAACCGGCCAAUUUUGUAGCUAGCAAGGCUAGGAUCGAUGCAGGGCAAAAGUCAGAGAGCAAUAUUCCACGCAUCCUUCCAGCUGAUCAGCUAUAGCUACAUGACUCACCAUAUGACUUUUUGUCCGAAACAUCCUCUUAGUGAGUGCUUAUAAUCCGGAAUGCAUUCCUUAUGGGAUGAAUAUAUAAAACUAAGUUACAAGGAUGGGCUGAUGUGCCUCCUGAUUAUGUUAAUCAUUCAGAUAUCUACGAGAUGCAUUGCCGCUUGACAAGAUUUUAGAUAUUGGUAUGUAUGUUGUACUUUAAAUAUAUAUAAUUAACUAUAUUAUUUUAUAUUUUUUUAUCUCAUUACUUGAUUUGAGGAUAUUUCAUGUUGCUUCUUGUAGCAUGCAACAUCUCACUAAUUAUUUUAUAUUUUGUAUCAUUUUAAAACAACAAGAUGCAUCAUUUAGGUUAAACCAGGAUCAUAUAAACAUUAAAAAAUAUUUAAAAAAUUAAAUUAGUCUUAAAAUCAUUGAAAAAAAUUGAUUAUCAAUUACUCGAAAAACUCAAAAAAAAUAGUGCUGGUAUGGAACCGGCAUGCCCAAGUGUACAGUGUGUCGGCGUGAUAUCAGUUCAGUACUGUAUCGAUCCAUCCGCCGAUCGGUAUAGGUUUCGAUAUCAGUUCGGCGAACCUUGAUGACAUAGAAUUCUUCAUAUAAUUGUAAUUAUUCUAAUUACAUAUCAUGCUCUCCUCUUUGCUCAUCUUGAGAAAAAAUAAUUUUCAGGACCUUCUCCAUUUUUUUUUGGUAUAUACCGGAGCCUCUCACAAGUUUUACUACUCAAGUAAUGCUUGUUGAUAACAAAUGGUGACAAACACACUUUUUCAGAGCAGAGUUCAUAAUAAAACCAUCCCACUAGGAUAACAACUUGUCUAAGGAUUUCAUUAAUUUGUACCAAUAAAGAAUACUUUGCCAUUAAGUUGGAAGUUGAAACACAACUAUUUUAUAUAAUCAAAUUGGAAUCUAAUAGUAUUAGAUCAUUUAUCAAUUAGCUUUAGUUCUUUAGAAGAAAUCAAUUCGAAUCUAUUUUUGGAUGGGAGCAAAAGCUAUUCCCACUACAAAAAAACUCAUCUUUUCCGGUGUUUUUUAUAACUUUUACCGACGCUUAUAAGCGUCGGCUAAAGUACCGGCGAUGCUAACCAAAGCGUUCCAAAAGCGUCGGUGAUACGAGAGUGGCAAAAUUUUUUGCCGAUGCUAAACUAAAACGUCGGCAAAAAUAGGGAUUUACCGAUGCUUGUAAAGCGUCAGCGAAUACCAAACUGAUACCGACCUCUGGUUUUCUCUGUUCGCCGAUGCUUUUGUCAAGCGUCGGCAAAUCGCUUUUAUUCUCGAUGCUUGAAAGCGUCGGAAAAUUCUGUUUUCGCCGACGCUAAUGAAAGCAUCGGCAUGACCCUUACUUUCACCGACGCGUUUAAUGCAUCGGCGUAGGCAUGCCAGGUGUGCCUUCCAAGCAAGGAAAGUAAUUAUGCAAUAAGUCCGUUCCUAGCAGGAUCAGCCAAAAAAUCAAUUAAUCUUUCCUCUAUUAACAGGAGAUCAUGAAUUCAAAUCAUAAUGAGAUGCUCGGGAAUUACAAAUUAUUACUAUUAGAAUUACUGGACGUGUCCAUGACACACUGCAAAUAUUAUCGAGGUUCUCAAAUCUACUUGAUUUAGGCAAAGUGCUUAGGAAUUGUGCCGAAGGGAUUAGCAUCUAGCCUUAGUGACAGAAUGGAGCCAAGACAAUUUCAAUUUAUCUUAAGAGUUGGUUACUUUCAUUCAUAAAUGACUACUACAGCUAGUGGAAUAUAUAGGUUGAACCAAACACAACUGCAGCAGCUGCAAUCAAAUCACUCUUCAAAUAUAGAAGAGUAAUCCUAUGUAGGCAUUGCAGGGCCACUCUAUUCAACAUUCUGAUCACUAUUCUGUGUGGCAUGAGGAUAUUCAUGUAAUCGGCUAGUUACUGUAAUGGAUCAGGCUCAUGUCAGACUAAACCUCAAUCCAUCCUCACUAAUAUGUGAUCCACUUCUACUUCUAUUUAGGCUGGUAGAACCAAGCCAACAUCGGAUAACAUGGGAUUCUUUUACACAAGUUUUGAUAUCCAAAGUUGAUGUAACAAUCACCUUCUUAUGUUCUUAAAAAAAAGAAGAAAAGAUCCUUAACAAAUACAAGGGGCACCACUAAGUUAACCUAUCGAUUUCUUCGGAUAACAUGGUGCUAGCCUAGUAUGUUGUGAAUCACAACAAUUUUUUCAUGUCAUGUUGACAUGAGGAACUGAUGAGGCAACUGAGAGGCACCCAAUUUCAAAACUCUUGGAUCUUUUAACCUAAGCCUAGAAGUCAUCUAAUGACCAAAUAGGUUUAGUUGAGAUUUCUGCAUGGCCCCUACCACCAGAAAGGGAACUCAAAACGCUUCAUUCUCCUAAUUACUUAACAAUGAUUUGGAGGUAGGUGGAAUUGUGGAAGAGAAGGGGUGUCCUUUGCAUUAUACUAAUCUUUUUUACUGAAAAUUUACAGAAAGAAUCCCUGUGCUAGCUAUAGGAUUUUCCAAAGCGCAAGAGCAAGAUCCCACCAUUGUGAGGUCGCCAUCAACGCCGAGCCGGUUUGGAAGCCAGCAACCCAUUCUCCAGUCAUAGCUUCCCAAACCAAUUAUUUGAGCAGAAACUUUUUUCUUAAUCAUAAAUUCACCUUCUUCAAGGUUUCUAAUAAGUGAUAUAUCCACAAAUAAUGGAUCUAAUACCAUUAUAAUAUAAAAUAGAAAGCCCUGCCCUUAUUUAGUAAGCAUGAUUCAGCAAAAACAGAAAAAAAUUGCAGGAAUAAAAGUGAUAGUUUUAAUAUCCAGUAUUAACCAAUUCAGUGGGGGGUAGAACAGUUAGAAAUGCUCAGUUCAAGCAAUGCUUCUAAGUACCUUUUCAAAGAGUGCAUGACCGAAUGGACAAGCUCAAACCAACCUCAUUUUUCGGAUCCAAUCCAGAAAUUUUCUGGAGAUGUAUAAAGUAAAGAAAUUUAAAUGUAACUAAACUUAUAUAGGUAGAAAGGUUCUUUGUUCAUUCAAACGUACGAAUAGGAUGAGAAUAAUACAAGAGAAAAAAACUGUAUUUUAUCGAAAUAAGAGAGAGCGAGAGAGCAUUUGCAUGUGACUUCCAAAAAAUUUAGUCUCCUAUGCAUUUGCUUAUAUAAGAUCUUUGUAUUAUUAUUAUAUCAUCCAUUUCCUCUUCAAGGAUCACUGCCUUAUUUUAUUGAUGCUGUUGGAGUGAUUUUAGGGAUGACAUGAUAAGCCAUAUCAACCCAUAAUAUUUUUUUUAUUAGCAUGAUCAUAUAUUAACUUGUAUUAUUUUUCUUUAUUAGUAUGAUAUUGUGAGAGUGAUCGUAGAGAUCACAUAAGAACUCAUAACGGGCAAUAAAAUUUUACUUGUAAGCAUGGUGCUAUAUCGGCCUAUAUUAUUUUUCUUAUAUGGACUCUGUAUGUUAGUAUAUAUAACAUGUGAGAAGAGAUGAGGAAGAAACUAAUACAAAAUUCUCCAAGCGUUUCAAAGAUUGGGAUAGAAAAAAACACCAAAUCAUCACCUGGUUUCGUAAUACCUCUAUCCCUUUGAUCCAUCUCCAGUUUGGUCGUUUCGAAACAACGAGAUAUCUAGGAUCUGCUAGCAAAAAGUUAUACCACUACUACUCUAGCUCAUCAAUAUCAAAUUUGGUCUGCACUUCAUCAUACAAAACAGGAGCCUGGACAAUCUGUCAUGAUUUUCCUGCCUAAAUGCAAUCUUUAUGGGACCAGUUGGCACCCUCGAAAUACGUUGUUCACCAUGAUCAGCUGCCACUUAUUUAUUUUCUUAUGACACACAGUUAUGAGUAUGAGGGGGUCCAUUUCUACAAUCCUGCAUCACAGUCCUCUGCCUAUAUUAGACAAUACAGUUCACGAGUUGAUAUCUGAGGAGACCAGACUCAGUAUUUUGCAAGCAAAACAUACUGAUGCUGUUCUUGUCACUACUUGUGCUCGGUAACAUGGAAAUUUUGGGCGAAAAUUCUGCAGAAACUGUAAUAAGAGAGGUCAUUCUCUACCACAUCGUCCGCCAUUGAAUGUUGGUACUAUCAUAAGCUUGGUCGUAUCCUUCCGAGAUGUCCCACCAAAGCUUCGAAGUCCGGUCAGAGCAAAGAACAAUAUUAUGAGCUAAUAUGGAUUGUUAUGUUUCAUGAGUGCACCAAACAUAUUGAGAAUUGUCAUUUUAUAUACUAACAUAUUGUUCGAGGCACAGUUCACUUAAUCUCUUUCUGCUCCUCUUAUUAAACUGCUGAUAUCUUCACUAAAGUUCAUUUUUCUGACUGCUUUCAUUCGUUGUUUUCAAAUUCAAGCUGGCACUUACAUUACCACCUUGAGUUUGAAGGGGGUAAUAUGGAAAUUUUGGGCAAAAUUUCUGCAGAAACUGUAAUAAGAGAGGUCAUUCUUUACCACAUUGUCCUGCCAUUGAAUGUUGGUCCUGUCAUAAGCUUGGUCGUAUCCUUCCGAGAUGUCCCACCAAAGCUUCGAAGUCCGGUCGGAGCAAAGAACAAUAUUAUAGGCUAAUAUAGAUUGUUAUGUUUUAUGAGUGCAUCAAACAUAUUGAGAAAAAUUAUCAAUUUAUACACUAACAUGUUGUUCGAGGCACAGUUCACUUAAUCUCUUUCUGCUCCUCUUAUUAAACUGCUGAUAUCUUCAUUGAGGCUCAUUUUCCUGACUGCUUUCAUUUCUUGCUUUCAAACUCGAGCUGGCGCUUGCAUUACCACCUUGAGUUUGAAGGGGGUAACAUGGAAAUUUUGGGCGAAAAUUCUGCAGAAACUGUAAUAAGAGAGGCCAUUCCAUACCACAUUGCCCUGCCAAUGAAUGUUGGUACUGUCACAAGCUUGGUCAUAUCCUUCCGAGAUGUCCCACCAAAGCUUCGAACUCCGGUCAGAGCAAACAACAAUAUUAUGGGCUAAUAUAGAUCGUUAUAAUUCAUGAGUACACCAAACAUAUUGAGAAUAAUUAUCAAUUUAUACACUAACAUGUCCUUCGAGGCACAGUUCACUUAAUCUCUUUCUGCUCCUCUUAUUAAACUGCUGAUAUCUUCACUAAGGCUCAUUCUCCUGACUGCUUUCAUGCCUUGGUUUUUAAACUCAAGCUGGCGCUUGCAUUACCACCUUGAGUUUGAAAGAGGUAUAACAGCUCAUAUAAGCUCAUAAUAUUUUUCUUUAUCAAUGUAAUCUUGUAUCAACUUAUAUUAUUUUUGUUUGCUAUCUUGAUUUUAUUGGAGUAAUUUUAGAGAUCACAUAACAACCUCUAUCAGUCUAUAAUAUUUUCACUGUUAAUAUAAUUCUCUAUCAACCUAUAUUAUGUUCAUUGUAUAGAACUGAACACUAAUAUAUAUGACCAAAUAUGAUUCUCAUUUCUUCUAGCAAAUGCUGCUACUAAUAUUCUAAAGACAAUGAUUUGAGGCCGGAAGAUUUUUGAAACACAAUGUUGCAAACUUUGAGGGUAGACCUUCGCCCCGUUGUAAGGUUUCUGCAUCGUGACCUAGAGAUCAUGGGCACUGAAUCAGUCCAUCCACAUGUGAAAAUAAAACUGAGUAAAUCCAAACCCAAGCUGAACAUUAUUUCCCACUAUAGGUACUAGUUGGUUGGCCUGUCAUCUCAUGACAGAGCCAGGAGAUCCAACAGAUGAAAGAGUCAGGAUAAACAAGAACCUCAUCGCAGUACCACUCCAAUGCAAACCAAUAAAGCGUGCUGCAUUUGGGAAAGCCAACAAAUCCUGCAAGGCGCUGGCACAGCACUCAAUUCACGAGGAAGAGGAAGCAUUCACGAGCUCAAAAAUCUUGAGAGGUUCACGCCAAGGAUUUUCAUGCAGUGGUCGCGACAAAGCGCAGGCGCAAGGCACAGGCAGCUCAGACAGUCUCCGAGACAUGGAUUCAUGCUGGUGUUACCCAGUUAGGUGGAUUCCAUGGCCAGAUACGUACUGAAAUGUCUCCAGACUCCUGAAAUCAACUAGAGAAAAAACAAAGAAAUGGUACUGCACACAUGAAUGCUAGCAGCAAACAAAUAGUAACUGAAACAUCCAGAGUCCACAAUCAUUUAUCCAACAAUUCAUGCAAGAUUAGGUCAGAACCAUCAUGUAAUUAUGUGACACAAACCAUCAUGCAAUUAUGUUGAAGGAUUCAGAAAACAUUAUAGGAAGGAGAACUAAGCUUUACCGAAAUUAUUCAGUGUCACAUCACGGCUGGUUAUUGUAAUUAUCCGCAGCAAUUUUAGCAACUAAGCAUUGCAGUUAAAUAUCAAACUUCACACAUAUCAGUAGUUAGCAUAUUGCUCGAAAAUUUAAAUGUUCAUAAGAGUACAAAGUUGGCAAUGCACUAAUCAGAGGAAAUAAAAGACCCUCGCAUACAUAACUACACCUGACAAGCAAAGCUUUCACCGUGGUCCUCACUAAAACAUGUUAUAGAAGAUUAAAAAAUAUAGUUCCAUUCAUUUCCUUUAUUGACAGUAAAACCUCAAACACUCUAGCUACUUUGCAGCAGUUAAAUCGGCGAAGGCAUCAUAUCCUUAUCCAAGCUCCAUGUAGUGCUGUUUGAACCCAACCAUGUACUCAUCACUUAAAGAAAUGAUUUGAGUCAAACAAAAUGAAUACUUGAAGUGGACGACAAAGAAAGAAAGAAAUCAGUACCUCCACAUUAUCUCAAAGCACCUUACACCGUCCAGACGCAAGGUGGUGUGUCAGAUCUCGGCCCAGCAACUGUCCGGUAGACAUAGAGCUUCUCAACAGGGCAAUCAUCGGGCCGUGAAUCCCACGACCCUCCGCUCCACUCAUCGAUAACCUCCACAUUAAGCCAUGGCAUCUUCUCAGCCAGCAACCUGCAUGCUCCUAAGCUCACAGAGCAUGAUGACAUCCAAAGGGAUCGCAUUGUCACUAGCUUAGCAGCAUUGGCCAACAAUGCCUUGUCUCCAAAGGGGCAGUCCCUGAUUUCCAGCUUCCGUAAGCUCUUGCAGCCUGAGAGAAUGUAAUGGAGACCAGCAUCACUAUUCCCAGCAAAGGCAACCGAGAGCAUCUCAAGGCAAUUUGCAGAGGCCCCAAUGGAUCUAAACACAUCGUCGGUGAGGAGACCCGAGAGGGAGAGUCGCCUGAGAUCCAUGCAAGAUUCUACAAUGGCGCUAAAGCCCGCAUCUAGUGGCUCUAGAGUGAUAUAGUCCGGUGUCUGUGGCUCCAUGAUGCAUAGACGGAAGCAUGUAAGAUUGGGACGGUUCUUGGCAACCGUGAAGAGAGCAGCAUUGGUCAUUUGCCGGCAGAAGUAGAGGACCGACUGGAGCAUUGGGCAUCCCGCAGAGACACUGACAAGGCCACGCUCAGUGAGAGAAACAGGCUGCGCUGCACCAUAAGGAUCAGAAGGGAAGACACGCAAUUCUUGAAGCCGCUUACAAGAUGAUGCCACAGCAGCUAGGCCAUUAUCCUCAAUCAAAUCCAUUACCUAACAGUUGAUGUUCUUUCAUAAUUAGUGUAUAUAAAAAUCAAACAGAGAUCAACAAGGACAAACAGAUAAACAGAAUAUGUGAAACUAAAAGGCCAUGAUCAGAACUUUGCCUGAAGUUCUAGGCUAAUCAGCAUCCAAAUGAUAUGGUUUUGGCAACCAUAUUCAAAAGCAAUGACAAAAACGAAAGAAAUAAAAAUUGGCAAUCCUAGGGCACCAGCAAAAUUUAACUCUGGUUAAGUGGAAAUGACAGGUCAGCUUUGUGAAUAUUAAGGCAGGGAAUCAUUUCGCAAUAUAGAAGGAACAGGAACUGAUGCAGAUUUACCCAUAGUCGUUCGAGAUUCUUGCACCCGCUGACUAGUUUGAUGAGGUCAGGGCUCUGAAUGGUAGCAUAACUUAAAUUCAGAGAUGUGAGGCCAUCACAGACUGAGUAGAUUGCUGGGAGAUAUGCUGGAACAGCUUCCCAGAUCCCAGAUAGGCUCCUCAUGCUUUUACAGCCCGCAAAGGCUGAUUCGAGCUUAGAGAAGAGCUCUGGAUGAUAUUCUGCGGAGAACCUGCCAGUUCCAAGGUCAGCCAGCUGGGGGGCCCUGCGCAGGAGGCUGACAAGCCUAUCAAGAGGCACAGCAUGGUUGAGCUUGAGGGUCUUGAGGUUGGUGCAUCUGCUCAUGAGGCGCUCGAGGACAGAGACAUGUACCUCCCCUUCCAAGCAAGCAAUGUUCAAAUUUACCAAAGAAGUGAAGGAAUCAGGAAAAUGGCUGAGCCAGUGCACACAAUUAUCCUCUACUUCAUUUUCCUGUAAGUCUAGCUCCCUCAGAUUUCUGCAAUAAUGAGCAUAAUCCAUGAAAAUAUUCAGGAGAAUCUUUAUUUAUCACCAGAAGUUGAUAGUUCUAAGUUCCAACAAAUGAAUUGAUAAAAAAUUAUGUUUCAUAUGCAAGAAUUAUUUUCAAAAAAAAAUAAAAAAUUAAGCUAGUGAUAAAUAUUUAUGUUGAAGUGGCAAUCAGAAACUACAUAGUUUUUGAUGAUCAAUACAGGGUAGACAAACAUAACGGACUGAUUGAACCUAAUUUAAUGUCAAGACAUAGCAAGAGAUGAGUUACAAGAGACAGCUGCUAUUUCACAAGAAAAGGAAUGAAAAUAUAAUGUUUAAGCACCUAAUGUUUUUUAGCAUAGAAACCAUUAAAGAUGUUGGGGGCGACUAGUAUUUUAUUUCUAAUAUUGCAAGAAGAUUGCCCUUUCCUGUUAGACAUCAAGUUUAAUAGUCUAAUACAUGCACUCACUUCAAGCACUGCACCAGUGCCUAUGGACUACAUCAUUUCUUGGGCUAUCAUACAUGACCUACCGAGAACAUGUUUGCUUAUUGCAGUAAGUAUCCAGAGCCGUGCACUAUAGCAAAACAGCUUCCUAUCAAUGCAGAGCACAGUUAAUAGGUGCAAGACAACAGGAUUAUGAUAUAUACCAUAAUCUGAAUAAUUCUAGGCAUUUCUAUAUACAACCAGCCAGCCAAGCCAUACGAUCAUCAGAAAAACUGAAAAAAAAAGUCACAUAUUUUAUGUAAAUUCUGUCCUUGCAGUAUGAAUAGAACUCUUUUAUAUUUCCGAUAUUACACUUACUACGAAAAUUUUCUUUUAUGGAAAUCUAUAAUUUCAGCUCAUUAGCUACCAAAGAUCUUUUGCAUUCCGCUAAUGUGUCAUUUUUUUAAAGAGAAUUCAAUCACCACUUAGUGGACUGAGAAUAUUUCCUAUCAGAUACAUUCAUAAUUUCCAACCUUUUUCUUGCAUAACUAAAGGGAGGAAAUGUAUGCACAGAAUUCAAGAAACAGUGAUCAAGGAUUUUAUAAAUUUGUUUAUUUGGUGGAAAGAAAAAGAACGACACAGACAGAAUUCCGGCAUAAGCCUAUAAGAUAUACAUCAGCUACGGGGCUUCCCUUGGUCCCUCUUCAUUUCAUUUUGAAUCAAAUGAAUCAGAACCAGGUAACAAAGAUCUGAAGGAGGAAUAGAAUCUCAAAAUGAGCGCCGACCAGAGAGGAUCGAUUUCCGCAAUGUAUUAAAAAUUGCACCUUUAUCCAGUUUAAGCACCAGAGGGGGAUCGCCACUUCAACCUUGGAUGUAAGUUUGAGACAAGAGUGAACGCAAUCCAGUCAACAAAACCAAAUUUUCAUUUCACCAAAGAGAUUUUUAGCAAAAAUUUCAAGUCAAAACCAGCCCUUUAAAUUUAGAGUUUCUUUUUCUGUCUCCCUUAAAUAAACGGCCCAAAAUGGAUCAUCUUCAAAAAAAUAAGCUUAAAUUCAUCCGACUACCGAAACCAUUGCGGAUCCGUACGAGCUUUUAUUACUCCAACAAAUGUUCCUUCAGCGUCCCAGUUUUGUUCCUAACCCUGGCAUCUAAACUCACUUCAAAAAUCAAAUUUUUAAGACAAAAUGACAAAAAUCACACAAAUAUUUGAGUCCACAUGAUCCUGGGACUUCUAUCUAAAUCACCUCCGAAUCAUCCCAACAAGAUCACCCUAAACUCCCCAGCAAGAUCACCCUAAAGUCCACAAAUUUAGAGUUGCAGACAUUCGAAAACGAGAAAUUUCUUCGGAUUUAUUCCAAAAAAAAAACCCUGUUUUGCUUAGAUCACCGACAACUCAGCCAAAAACCCGCUCCAAGGGUAAAAAGAGUUGAAAUCAAGACUAAGAAUUGGGAAAAGAACGCAGAGGGGGAGAGAGGCUGACCUACAAUUGGCGGCGAUGGCGGCGAGGCCGGCGGUGCUGAACCCCUCGCAGGAGGAGAGCGCGAGGACUCUAAAGUUCUUGAACGAUCGGGCAAUGAGCUCGAGGCAGUCGUCGGUGACGACCAUCCGCUUGAGGCGGAGCUCCUCGAGCUGCGGCCACCCUUCCGCCAUGGCGGCCACCCAAGCCUCGGCCCCCCCGCCCCAGUCGCUGGGGACGAGGUUGAAGUCGGCGAAGUGGGGCUUGCCCUUGAUGGAGACAGCCCGGACCUCGGGGAAGCGGCGGACGGCGGCGGCGGGGGCGAUGGCGUAGCAGUUGCCGACGAAGAUCCGGCGGCGCGAGCGGCGCUCGAUACGGUACCACCCCCCGCAGACGAGGGAGACGGCGUUGCGGUCGCGGUCGGCCGCGAGGAAGGAGAAGAUGUGCUCCCAGACCUCGUCCGGGAACAAGGCGGCCCACCGCCCGCCGGCGGGCAUAGUCGUCCGUCGGAUCGGCGGCUCCGGGGCUUAUCGGACGGUGGAGAGGCCGGGAUCGCUCGACAAGGAGGAGGAGGAGACAGAGGAGGCCAUCAUCAUCACCACCAUCACAAGAAGAGGGGUGGGGCGCAGCCAUCUCUCCUUUUCUUACUGCCUUGAGGCGCGCGUGGAUCACGAGAUGGACGGAUGCUAAUUUGACACGUGGUUCAUGGAGCCAUUCUGGCCGUUGGAUGGGCUUGUCGUUCUUAUCCACCGGUGGCGACGACCCGGAACCGCGGGGAGCGUAUCUAUGCACGUACGAAUGGUCGGGAACGAGGGAGAAAUGGCAGGGUGAUUCGGGAAACGAAAAAAUGCAGAGCAUCGAAAACGCAAGUUGCUGCUUUAAUACCUUUUUAGUUUCCCAGUUCUCCAAGCAUCGCAUACUAGAUCACCCCUUGGGUGACGUAGAAGAUGAUAAUUACCAAAAAAAUAAGUGUGAUGGCAAGAUCAAUAUAUAUAGUAUAAAUUUAAAAAAUACACUUUUAGUAUAAUAUUUUUACUUUUUGGUAGUGUUCAUAUAAGAUAGAGUAUUUAUUAUGAGAAAAUAUGUAAAUAAUAGAUUAAAAAAAAGGAAAGUAUAAGUAAAUUCUUUAGAACUACAUGUAGAUGAUCAAAAUUGUAUGUUGGAGCCCCAACCUCAUGUGUUUAUAUCGUAUACAUAUAAUUAUAACAAACAAAUUAUUUAUCGACCAUGCACAAAGAUCCAAUUUAUGUUUUAGUUUUCAUAUAAAUAGCUCAAAGAAAAAUAGUUAUUUUUUUUAAAUAAAAUAAAAUAACUUUUUCAUGUUUCUCAUGAAAAAUAUUUUCUCAUGAAACGUAGGAAUCAAAUUUCCCUGGGAAUACAACUUUUCCGUCUCUCUUCUUUGAAAAUUUCAACCAAACAAGAGGUAUUUCAUUACUUUUUUGUUGACCACAUUUUUUUUCCUUUCUUUUUCCGCGAACUAAACGAGCCCUUUGAGGACUAAAAGAUACUUUAUAGUGACUAAAAUACUCUCACAAAAUAAGUUAUUAACACACAAAAAAAAAUCACCAAACACCAUGAACAGAAACGGCGUUUUAAUUGGCUUUUUUUGGACAACUACAUCGUGGUAGUUAUUUUACUACUGUUACAAUAAAAUAACAGUUGUAGACCGAAUCGCCGGAAACGGCAGUAAGCAUGGGAAUCGCGGUUCUGGAAAUCCUCCAUGGGCAUGCGCGUAGGAGACAGCGGGAGUCUCUGGAGGGAGGGGAUGCGGCCUCGGAAUCGCGCAAGGAUUGGACGGUGGAGAUGAGGUGAGGAAUCGUUGGACCAUGGGGUGGGGUGGUCCUGGUGACCUUCGGAGUUUGGAGCGGUGGAUCACGUGACAAGGGGUGGAUGGUCCCUGCAAGCUUUUUGUGGGGGCACGGCGACAGCAAAAGGCCCCUAAACUUUUUACCCUCUAUUUUAUCUCCAAAUUUGUUGUUAUGUUGUUGGAACUAGGACUUUGUUUAAUACUCCACCGUUAGUUUACCCUUUCUUGACCAAAUAACAAUCAAUGCAUUCAACACAAUAGCCCCCAAUAAAUUCAAGAUUUUACAUGUAAGAUGCAUAUCAAAUUUUUUCCCUCAAAAUAAAAAAAGCAAUUAAUUAUCACCGUUAGGGCAGCCGAUCAUUUGGGUUGGUUUUGAGCUGAACCUAAUACUGUAGCUCAUUCGCUUAAUAUGAUCGGAUAGACCGGAUUUCUUUUCGUAUCAAUUAUGUGUCUAGUUGGUUUAAAUUUAGAGUUCAAAUCCUCUUCAGAUCGUCUCUAUCUGGUCCAGCCGUUCAGAAUUUUUGAUACUUGUUUAGAAAUAUAAAACAAGUAAUAGAUUCUCAAUUUUCGAUCUGAAUUAUGGAUCUGUUUGCUCAAACCAAUCCAUUUUGCUUUGUUAUCUUAAGUACCGAAAAUUACGAAGCUAUUCAGAAUCUAGUGUUCUUAUACCAGUUGGAUCACAUAAGAUUAAGAUGCAAAUUUUGCAUUGAGUUUGUUUAUAAUAUUUAUACGUUUAAGUCGCUACAAGCAAGAAGAAGGCUCGCAAGUUGCAAAUUACAGUGCCAUGGUCAUUGUUAGUUUUAUUACGGGCCCACUCAUCGGAUGAUGCGUUCGUGUGGUACGAAUGGAGAGCAGGGUCUUAGCGUGGUGACGAGGUGACGCGUCUGAUGGGUCACUCACACGCGUACCGACGGUUACCGUACACCAAAACAGUAAGCUUGGCAAGGUAUCGCUUACGAGGAUCCCGUCACCGGCAGCCAAGGAAUGGGAGGCAGCUUUAAAAGCCAACAGCGGAAGCAGAGGAGGCAGAUGAUUUUUUUUAAAAGAAAAAAAAAUGACUGACGAGAGGCAGCAGCCACUGUCCGAUCUGAUUGACCGAAUUAUUUGACGGUUGAAAUUUCCUGAAUGCCCUUCUGUGACGUCACCACCUCCGCAGCCUUUUCCACCGAACAAACUUUUCCCCUUUGCCCAUUUUGUGAUGACCCAAAUGCCCCCAGGGUGGAGGAUGGAAAUCAAACGAUGCAAAGAGUUUAGGAUGACGGCCGUCACUAACGUUUUUUUUUUUUUUUUUGUAAACGGGGAAGGACCUUACCUAUAUAGCAACCUCUACUGGGCCUUCUCUCUGUCGGAGAAUAUUCGAUGUGGGUAGAAUAUUUUUUACUCAUAUUCUCCUCAUCCAUGGCAGAGCACCACCAGUGUGGCAGCCCUAUCUCCGUGUGAGUACAUCAUACCAACACCACAUAAAUAAUAGUAGACCAGAUAGCGACUCCACCAGACAAAUCAGGUGGGGAGUAUUCGGUCUUCGCAUUUAAUCGAUGCGCACGCGUUUCGAACCUGAGCCACUCCGGUGAAAUCAAAAUUCCGUGUCACCAUCUCGGUGGUACAACGGCUUUUGAUUUAUGUAAAAUAAAGUUUAAGUAUUAUAUAAUGUUAGUUUUCGUACUUUAGAGGUUGUCAUAGCUAGAACAGCUGCUAUUAUGUUUCUAUAGUAAGAAAUGUUAUUGAAAUUUUUGUUGACUAGAGAAAAAUAUAUAUUAGAAAGUAGACUCUUGAGGAGAUAUAUACGCCAUCGGCUAAAAUGACAAGGUGUUUUAUCCAUCUAGGGGUGGAACACGCAUGAGCGAACUGGGUGCCAUUCAAAUUUUAUCAAAAGUUUAAAAGGUUAGCUUGGGCUUUGUUUAAGCUCGAGUUGAGCUAGAACAGCCCAACUCGAGCUCGGCUUGUAUAAGCUUGUACUAGUUUGAGCUUGGCUUGCUUGAGCUUGAAAAGCAAAGCUUUGCUUGUCUUUUGCUUAGUAAAUGGUUAAGAGAAAGAGAGAUUUCCAGCUAUAUGAUUUUGUCAUUGGAUUGAAACUUAAUUGUUACUAAAAAUAUCUAAAAUUCAAGCUAUAUUGAGUUGAAAUUAAACAAGCCGAUUCUUGCUUGCACUUAGCUCGUUUCUAUUUCAAGCUUAAACACUCAACACGAGCUUGGCUUUUUUAAUUAAACAAGUGACCUAUUUUAGAGCCUAUUUUCGAGUUGAACAUAAACUAGCUUAUGAAUAGCUUGCUCGUUUUCCGGCCCUACAUCCAUCAACAUCUUGGAGGUCAAUUUUGGUACAUUUGUCAAGCAUGGUAGUAACAAUUAUGAAGUCUAACUUUUUCAUUUUGCAAUCAAUAGAAGAGUGCACCCCAAGUUAUUUAUGAGCAGAUAUAAUUUUCAUUUUCAUGACAAAGUUAUAAGCCAUAUGAGAGGGCCUCUUGAAUAUUAUUUUAUACUUUCGUUGUGAUAGUGAAUUAGUUUGAAUUGCAUUCUGCCAAUAUUUCAACUACUAACCUAUGCUUGUAGGUCCUUGAAAUGUAACUUUACUAUUUCAACCUUUUUUUCUUACCCUACUAAUAUAUUCAUUCCAAGAAUGAAGCAACAUAUAGUCAAUGAUAGAUUUUAAGAUAUCCCUAGCAAUCUAUGUGCUGGAAAAAGAUUUUCUCCAAUUUAGACCGACCAGUCUUGUUGCAUUCAUGAAAGGAUAGCCUAACGUGUCUUUUUUUUUCUUUUCUUCUUUUCUUUAAAAAACAUUUGCCAUUACUUUGCAGUAUCUAAAGGUUUAAGAUGAUGACCAUUAUCUCGUAUCUUUUUUUUCUUUAAUAACUGUUAUUAUACUAUAUAAAAAAAUAUUUUUUUAUCUGUUAUAUUUUCAAAUGAAUUUAUUCCAGACAAUUUUAGGCAAAUAAUAGUAAUUAUUUUCGAGGGCAAUAGGGUGCACCCGAGUCUAGUAGCUGAGAGAGCACUUCUUUAUGCGGAGAAGAUCAUCUGCGGUGCUCCGUCGGCAUCCCUGGGGUUAACCGGGAAAAUCUGGGGUUCCCCUACUGCUCAUGUAGCAUCUACGACUGUUUAGGUCUCAUAGGAACUCCCACCUCCUAGCUUUCUCAAGAUGAACUUCGAUGACAGCGUUAGCGAUGAUGGCUGCAUUGGAGGUGUGGAUUUUGUUAUUAGAGACCACGAUGCUCGUCUGAUUGUGGUAGGAGCCGGUAGAUCUUUCACGCAUUUGUAAUCAGCGCGGAGCUCAGGGUUGCGCGUUGAUUGCGUGGAUUCGAGACAUGGAGCUCGACAUCAAGUCGGGACUGCUAAUCCAUGAUGUUCGUUGACUCGUGGGCGUGGAUGGCCUGUCAUGAGCCAGACAUGUCUAUAGGGAGGUGAAUAGCGCGGCUAGUUGGGUUGCCUCAUUUGCGACCCACCACUCAGGAGCCUUCAUUUGGGAGGGCUAGGUGCCUGUGCCCCAGCCACUGAGCUAUCCUGUGCCCCAGCCACUGAGUUAUCUCUUGUUUUCUGAUGCUAUUGCCAUUGCAACCAAAAAAAAAAAACAAAUUAUUUCGAUGACAAUGAAUUGGCAGCGUGUGAAGGGUUCCGUGACACGUGUAGUGGAAUGAUACCAGAUUGGAAAGGACAUUUCGGUAAAUAAGCGAAGGCCGGGGGGCAUUGGUUGCAGAAUGGGAGGCCACGGGAGUUGGCCUUUCUCCGUUUCUCGAGGCCUCGGAUGCAGAUGGACGGCUGGGAUUGGUCAGUGGACUGAGACGAGAUCUCGACCGUUAGGAGGGAAGCUUAGCUUUGCGAGAGGACUAGAACUAUUAAUUUAUUUUAUAAUAAAAAUUUAUUUAAUAGAGCUCAUGUAUCGAUGGAAACUUGAGUUACUUUGAAGGGAAGGUAGGAGAGGAAAAAUCAUCAUACUUUAUCUAGUAGUAACUUUUGAUAUAAAUAAAUUUAUAUAAAUAUUUUUAAAAAAUAUUUAAUAGUAAUAAUAAAAAUAAAAAAGCUCAUAUACUUCACUUUUUAUAUAACAUAUUUAUAGGUAUCAUAUUUUCAUUGUUGUAUUUGGACAUUUUCCAACUGUAUUGUGGGAGAAGGAAUAGAAAAAUGGUGCUACACCACCAUAGCUGAUUUUGAUUAUAACAGAAUAUUCUCAUAAGAUGAGUUUUAAUUUUUAGUACAAAAAUAGUUCAAUAUGCAUAUGAUGAAAUCUUAUUACAAGGAAGAUUCUAGCGAGUAUAUAUGAGGGCUGGUUCAUCUGAUUGGGAUCUGGGUUCUGAUUCAUAAUUUGCUGUUCAUUCUUUUUAAUAAAUUAGACUUGAUUGAACAAAUAUUUUUCUAUUUUGCAAUAUAUGGAAGAACGGAGAUGUAAAACGUACAUGCUUUGGACUAUGCCUAAGAUGGUUAAUGACAUUGAUUACUUAUUUUAGUCUCAACUCUUAAACAACUCGAAGCAUAAAAUUCCAACCUUCGGGAUGCAUUUGGUUACAUAAUAAAUUUUAAUAAAAUAAAAAAUAAAAUAAGUUUGGAUAGAUAAGAUUUGUUAAGCAUCACGUCAUGAUGCCUAAAUAGUCCAUCCAAAAUUGUAAGAAAUUGGUCUAAAGUGCAGAAAACUUUGGUGAUUUUGAAGUACCAAGCACCCCUCUUGAACCAAAAACCAAGUCCCCCAUCCACAUUUAAAAAAAAUAAAAAAAGAGUGUAGAUUUAGUGAUGCAUGUAUGCACAUAGAUACCUGCACAAUUGAUGGCUCAUGGACAAUAAUACCACUCAUACAAUUUUCAACUGCUGUAUAAAAAUAAUUGAUCAAUGAAGUAUUUGUUAAAAAAAGAAAAGGAUAUGUGCACCAUUUUUUAUUACACAUCCAGUGUGUGACCCACAUUUACAUAAAAUGAUUGCUGAUGACACUGAAAUGUCUCUAUCAUCCUAGUAGCCUUAUACCAUGACAUACAUCUGGUACUUCUGCACUGACUUGACCAAUCAUAGUACAUGGUUAAAUUGACCUCCACAGUAGAUGACUGUGCUGACCUUCAUGCUGGAGAUAUGGUGCACUCAGAGCAUCAGCAUAUGAUCAUAAACUGAAUCUCUCAUCAUCAUCAUCACACAUGAGUUUGAAAUUCUUAGCCAUUUGGCCUUCUAGCAACCCAGUAUUUUGUACAAAAAACCAAUAACCUAUGUUUUGCAUGGUAAAUAAAAAUCAUUGCAUGGAAGUAAUUUUGUUCCUCAAGCAUCUGACUAGCUAAGAUUCGAUAAUUGCCAUGCGAUUUCGGAAAGUUAGCUACAAGUUAAUGUAGCAUUGAUCAUACGCAAAGGUAAUUUUAUCUUAUGAGUGGCUAAUUAGUUCAAAUGAUCGAUUAUUCUUAAAAGAGGUAGAGAAAAAUUAAUUUACAAAAAACUAAGAAUGAUACAUCAUGGAGUGACUAUACAUCCCUUGCCGUUAUUUUUUCCAUAGUUUGAUUUGAUAGCAAGGACUAAUUAGGCUUUGAGAUAUUAUAUAUUUUUACACUUUACUAACUUCUAUGCAUUAUUUCUAGGCAUAAUUUUAUUGCUUCAACAAACUUUAUUUUUUGGAAAAAGGACAUGUAGGUAAAAUAAUAUUUCAUUGGAAUAUGAAAAAAUAGGGUGGUAAACACUUAAACGGAAAAAAAAUGUAAUGCAUGCAGCAUUUUGAAUAAGCACUCACCCAUUCUGCUUAUUAUAUGUUGUAUAAACUAUAGUAAUUAUCUCUUGGAAACAUUUUUUGGGGAAAAAAAAAUCUCUCUUGUAGAGUGAUGCAGGACAACUGCAGGAAGAAGAGAAAAAGGGGAAGAAGAGGAGGAGAAGAAGAGGAGGGGGAAGAAGAGGACAAGGAGGCUAAUUUUCAUUUAACAUUCAUCAAAACUCUAAACAUGAGGAUAGACCCAUAUAUAUAGGGUCACAAAAUAAUAAAUAAAUCCCUAUAAAUAAAAUAAUUCCAAAAAGACCCUAAAAUGACAUUAUGCAAAUAAACCUAAAUGACAAUAUGCAAACAAACCCAAUCAACAUAAAAUUAAUCCAACUAAAAUAAAUCAAUCUAAAAUAAAAUCAGGCUGGCUGAAUCGGCUGGGACCCGCUGAGCUGGCUGGAUCCUGUGGCGACCGGCUGAUCUGGCAUUGGUGUCUGCACCAACUCUUUCCGGCUGGAAAGAAGUCGACCUCGACGAAAGCGGCUCGGUAAAACCCCGGUAAUACUCGAACAAGUUCGGGUCAAUUGGCGGUCUCUCCUCGUGCUGGAUCCAAGUGUAACCGGACUUUGGUCGUCCACGCCAACGAACCAGAAAAUGUUGGAUGCCUCCAUCACUGUCAAAAACUAUUUGCUCGGCUAAAAUAGAAUCAAUAUACUCUUUUUGUCCUCGAUGGAGGAGAAAAGGAAACGAAGAUGGCAUGGAAUCAAUAAUAGGAUAAACAUCGGGCGCAGGAGAGUGUGCAACAAAAAAGUCAAUAGGGAUUGCAACGAAAUCUUUAAUAUUAAGAGUAAACCUAUGACCAAAAUCAAAUGAAAAGUCAAUGAUAUAGGCGUCAGUGCCAUCCUUGUGCAACACCCUGAAUGGUCCAAUACUAAGAGACUGCAAUUCCUUAAGAUGGAUCAUUACAUAACCCCAAGUUUGAAAUUCUUUAGCAUAGAAAUCAGCUUGAAUCUUAUAUUGAGUAGUACAUACAAAAAUGCCCUUAUGGAUUUCGUGAUGCAACUUAUGAAUGUGUUGUAUAAAUGCAUAUGCAAACUCAGAAAUCCUAACAUCAGUUUCGAUGGGUUGUGCGAGGGCAUAUCCAACUAGACUCAUGGUGGACUGGUUAGACUCGCUAUUUAACUGUGCAAGCGAGCUAGGUGUAGUGUGGGUGCAUCUUAGGGUUUCGGUUUGUCUCACACUCUUCCUCAAUGUCCUGAAUAUCAUCGAAGUUUGGUUCAUAGAUUUGUUCCUCUAAGUCAUAUGCGUUACCUCCCAACUCUUGCUGAGCAAUAACGAAGGAUUUGUUAGCACAUUGGGAGACAACGUGAUCAAAACCUUGGCAUUUGUAACACCGAAUUUUGGAAUGUGGUUUGGGAGGCUCACCAAGAAUUUUCUUGUUGUCGGUGUCUUAGCGUGGGACAUGGGCAGUAGAAGGGGGCCUAGGAGUAGUAGACCCUACAGAAGGCUUGGGCCCUGAGGAAUUAGGGCCCGUGGAAGUGCUCCCUAUGUCAGGGCGCCUUACAAAUGUGGAUUUAGUGCUCCCUCGAUUAAGGAGAUCGUCUUGGUAGUUAUGGGGUAGCUAUUUUUCUUUAAGUCUCUCUUUCAUCUCUACCCAAUCAGUUAUUACAUAUUGAUAUCUCCUAGCUAACAGUUGUUCAGUAUUUUGCCAGAAAAGUUUAGCUCGACUAAUGAGCUUCAUUCUGGUAAACCGGACCUUCUUGUUGUCAGACAAAUUGUACCACUCAAAAAAAUGGUCCAUUUCGUGUAACCAAUCCGAGAAGACUUUCGGAUCAAGACGACCGUCAAAAGUAGGGGCUUCAACCUUAAUGCCUCUGAUUACAUCUUCAUCCGGGUCACGAGGUUCUCUAGGUUCUACGUUAUGUCGAUAACCUCUAUCAAUAUUAGGAAAAGGACUAGGUCUUCUAGGGCGAGGGUAGGCAUAAUGGUGACCUGGAACAUACCUAUUAUCAAAAUUGUCCUGCCGAACAGAGCUUUGUUGUUCUAGGAUUUGUUCUAGGGUGUCGUCCCCUUCAAGACCCGGUAAAUGGGAGGUACUAGCUUUCUUGGAUUCAAUGACCCUCUGAAGUGAAGCCUCAAUUGAAUCAAGUCGGGCAUUAACCUGGGUGGACAUUGUGGUUAGGUCAUGAAUUUGGGCAUUGUUGGCUUGGACUUGGGCAUUGGUGUUUUGGACUUGAGCAUUAGUAUUUUGGACUUGAGCAUUAGUGUCUUGGAUAGCUUUUAAUAGAGCUUCGAUUUUGGAAUCCAUGUCUAACUGGGACUCAGAAUGAGAUGCGACACGACCACUACGUAGAUGCAUAAAAUGAAUGAAGAUAUGUAUGAUCCCACCAAUUAUAGAGGUUCCUAAGUAGACCUAAUGCAUGAAAGUAGUUCGAAAUUACAAAGUAUAUGCUCAAUAUAAUCGCUAGCUGACUCUAGCAAUUGAAAUCAGCUUAAAAUUACAUAAUAAGUCCAGGCAAGUUGUUGCAGUCAAAUAGUACUAGUUUUCAGUGUGUUGUAGGCCUGCACAGAGCCUCAAAGAAUUUCCAAAGAUUAGGUAGCCCUACAAUUAAUAGCAAAGAUAGGCCACUACUAGGAUUUUGGUGUUGUCUGGAGUGGGGGCAUUGAAUUUUUCAAAAAACAAUAUCAAUAGAGCACUUAAGAGUUAAUUGAUCCUAAAUUUAGAUAAACAAAUAGAAUUUUCAGUAAUAGAAAAAUCUGACCUGGGUUGGGCCACUACCAGAAGCGCUGCACAGCAAGUAGGCUCGUCAAACUGCUCCAAUCAGGGCUGAUCUCAGCAACUCGGCGGGCCUGAUCAAAGCAAUUUGGUAGGUUUGGUGAGGCGGACUGUUUGAAUAGAGGGUGGGGUUGUGGUGCAUGGGGGCGGACCUGAAAGGAGGGCCUGCGGAAGAGGGGCCGGGCGGCUGGGGUGUAGCUGGGCCCGAAAGGCUCGCGGGCUACAGGGCCCACCGAAGAGGGAAAAGAGGCGGGGAAAGGGGGGCCGAAACCCUCUGAUUUCGUAACAGAGAGGGGAAGACGUAAGGAGGUGAAGUGGGUUUGGAGCUUUUGGGGCGGGGGUGAUUGGAGAGGAUGAAGGGAGGGUGGGGUGCGGCGGAAGGGGAAGGGGUCUGCGAGGGGAUGGGGAGACGGUGAACUCAGUGGCGGCGCAGCGGUGGAGCUUGACGGUGGUAGAGUUGGCGAGACGAAGGAUGGUGGGUUUGAUGACAAUGGCCUGGCAAGAAGGGAAGGCCGUAUGGGGUUUGGUGGACUAGGCUGUGGGUGACUUGGGUCAGGGGACCGAAGAGUGGAGAAGUGGCAGGGCUCGGCGGCGGCGGAGCUUCACCAUGCGGCGGAGAGGGCGGGUCUGCGAGGGGGUGGCGGGACGAUGGCGGCCACAGAUGAAGGUGAAGCGGUGCUGCGGGGAGACGAAGGGGGCACGGUGGGCGUGGCGACGGUGGAGCGGCGCUGGCAGCACGGCGGACGCGGCGACGGAUGAAGAAGAUGACAGGUAUUUUCCUUUUUUUCUCUCUCUCUUUUUCCCCUUUUUUCUUUUUUUUCUCAACAAGCACGUGCAGUCACGUGCGCUCUUUUUUUUUUUAACCCGACCGGAUUCGGGUUAGCGGACGCACCCACUUCGGUAACCCGUUAAUGGCCCGGCUUCGUCGUGGAAGUUUGGGGGGAGGGAAAGGGUGCAGGUGGUUACCGGGUUUUGUGGCAACGUGCCGCGUGGGGCGCGGAGUCGUCCAGCGAGGUCCUGCGGCUGGCGAGUGGCAAUGAGGGUGGACACCAGCGCUCGGCUUCUCUCCUCAGAUCCGGAUGACGGGAGACGGCAACGAGGCUUUCCCCUUCUUUUCCUCAGAAGGCUUGGGAGUUCGGCUUCGGAAGAAGAAACGGGGAAUGGCAGCAGAGGAGAGGGAACAGGGAAUCUCCAGAAGACACCCAAAACAUUUUUUUUUAUUUUAUAAUUUCAAUGCUGCUUCCAUAUGAUGUCUGUUUCGCUCGGGACAGCCACUGUGGGAAACUUGGCCGCACUGCUUCAGAAGAAGGGAACGGGCUCUUUCUCGGCUGAGGAAGAAGUCUGAGCCCUCGCGUGAAACCAAUGCUACAGCAGCCAGAAAAUUUUGAAACGUGGCUCUGAUAACCUGGAUCGAGGCCUUGACAGCAGGGGCAAAGCCAGCCUGCUCUGAUACCAAAGCUGAUGCAGGACAACUGCAGGAAGAAGAGGAAAGGAGGAAGAAGAGGAGGGGGAAGAAGAAGAGGAGAAGAAGAGGAGGGGAAAGAAGAAGACAAGGAGGCUAAUUUUCAUCCAACAUUCAUCAAAACCCUAAACAUGAGGAUGGACUCAUAUAUAUAGGGUCACAAAAUAACAAAUAAACCCCUACAAAUAAAACAAUUCCAAAAAAAUCCUAAAAUGACAUUAUGCAAAUAAACCCAAAUGACAAUAUGCAAACAAACCCAAUCAACAUAAAAUAAAUCCAACUAAAAUAAAUCAAUCUAAAAUAAAAUCAGGCUGGCUGAAUCGGCUGGGACCCGCUGAGCUAGCUGGAUCCUGUGGCGACCGGCUGACCUGGCAUUGGUGUCCGCACCAUGGAGUCUAUAAAAAUUUGUAAUAUUCUUUAUAAUACAAUUAUUCACAAGUAGGGAACGAUUAAUGGUGACGAUGCCAUAAAAGAUGAAUUGAUUGGUUGCAUCAAUUUGCUUGCGCCCCAUCUAUCAAAUAGCACUUUCCUUGCUAUAGGUCCUUGAUAUAAUGCAUCUAACGGAAAUUGACAUGGCAUAACCUAGUUGCCUAUAUGGUUAAUUUAUUCACCAAGUAACCCUAACUAAAGAUACUCUAAUCACUACAAAGUUCUGCCUUAAUUAACUUAAGAUUCCGAUGAGUUUGGUCGGCCUAGCAAAGUUAAUUUUUAAAGCUAGACGAGGUUCAUGGCCCAACCUACAUGAGUGGAAUCUAGGUUAUCGAAGAUCCCAAGCCUGGCUCAUUGAUUCUCCAAAGGUUUAUCAUAUAUUCAAUACAGAAUCUUAUCUAGAUUUAUCAUGAGCUCAUGAAGCUUAAUUUAUCUGAGUCUUCUUAUCAAAAUGCCCAUGCAUUCACAAUUCACCUUAUCUUUUACCAAUUGCCAAGCCAUUUAAGGACAAGACACCAUGUGCACAAAACCAUCAAAACCAUUAGGUCACAUCCUAAAGAUCAUCAUUUUUGAUUAUGGAAGAUGUUGAAGGACAGCCAUUUGAUAAGGAGGCAACGAAAAGAUGUCACACUUUUGAGGAGUUCUUUACCUUUUCCUGAAACAAAACACAAAUUAUAUUGAAAGUAGAUCACAUCACCUUCAUCCAUCCUCCAAUUAAGACAAGGAAAUCCUCAAGUUUGCUCAAGUUUUCUGAAGUUUUUAACACAUGGUCAGCUUUAGCUUCAAUAAAUAACCUAUGAAUAUGUUUUUCUUCGAAAAGAAAUCUAUAAAUUUGUUGGUUUCAAAAUACUAUAUCAUGUAUUUCUUCCUAUCCAACAACCCAUUAAGCAUAUCUGCUUUUAGGUGCUCUUGCUAUUAAUCAACCUAGUCCAUGUAAAUGGAUUGGACUUUAACUCCUCAUUCGUCAAAUCGAAAAAAAAAAGGAAAAGAAAAAAGAAUUGAAUCGCACAUUGUGACCAUGUUAAAUACAUUGACAUCACCAAAUGGACAUUCAAAUUAUCCAUAUCAUAGACUAUGUCUCUACAAUCUUACUUGUGAUCCAGGGCCAUCUUUCCAUUAGAUGGGCAAUGGCCUACUAAAGUUGGGCAGUACUGGCUGUGCAUUAUCAUGUGAGUCUCAUGAUGGUGAUGGGUCAAAAGAUGGAUGGUGAUGUUUGAACCUUAAGAGUACCUGAGGUUAGGCAAUAAGACAGUGGAUUUGUUGUUUAAUCCCAGCUCCUGUCAUCACAACUUUUGUUUGUUAUGUUGGCCUUUGAUUGUUUAGUUGAUUGGUUGUUGGAGCUCUAAUAUUUUAUUUGCCUUUGUUGUUGGAUUCUAAUGGCUCUCUUGUGGGUUGCCAAGAACCAAACUUCAGGAUUCUGCCACCCUUUUCUGGCCAAGUAUGCACUUAAACAAAGCACCCAACUAAUUCAGUUUAGUGGAACAUAUGCGACAUUAGUGUCCAAUGCUUAGUUGGAGAUUAUACUGAAGGUCGGUCCCAUGCUAUUUUGGCCAUUGCAGGCCUUGUCAUGGUACGAUCUGAAAUAUUUGAUGCUUUAUUCAUGGAGGAGAGUCCAUGAGAGCUCUAAAGUGAUGGUUUUUGGCUGCUAUUACCUACUAAUGGACCUUUGUCUUCACAGACCAGAGUUAGGAAAGGAAUCACGUAGUGUACGACUUCAUUGUUUGCAGCUUGCUUUCUCCGGUCGUGCGAUGGCACAGUUAUGCCAACAAGUGUCUGAAAUUAGAAAGAGGCAAGAGUGGUAGUAGAUCCUACCAAUUUAAGUUUCAAGGACUUUCGCUGCCAUGGCGCUGCCUUCUCAGAGAAGAGGUAGUCAAGGCAUCAGAUCUGAUCUACAAACUACGAACUUCAGGUAGACUAAGAUAAAAUAAGGUAAACAAAAAUAAAACAAAGAUAAAAAAGAUGACUGAUCGGUGCUUGAUGAUUGGCCAAGGAUCCUUCCAUAGAAUUGCAUCCUAAAAUUUAUACAAUCUUUUUGUAAUGGCUAGAUAGUUGUUUUUCUCUAACUUUGAUACCCAUAUUUUGUGAUUGCCAUCUUGUCUACUUUCUUCUGAUGGUUCUCUUAGGAAUGUCCCUCUUGAAUUGCUUUCCAUUACCAAGAUUCAUCGUUAUUCUCUAGUUCCUGCUUUCGACAUGUGUUUAUCAUCUAGUUGGCCAUUGGUCUCUUACCACCGGUUGGGAUGUAGUAUAAAUAGUUACCAAACAUAUGUUAAAAUUUCACAAUAUUUCAAAAAUAUAGUUCUACUGCCCAAAGCUUUGCAGACAAAAGUUCUACUACUUACAACAAUGCCAAAUAGAGCUUUAGAAUGCUAGUAUUACACUUUUGCAACUUUUCAUCUUUACAUUCUCUAUUACUUUAUUAAGUGAUUCCCUUCUAAAUGGAAUAGUUUGUAAAUGAGAUGCUAUAAGUAGAGCAAAUUCAUAACAACUCCAUGUAGUUGAAAACAAUUGUUGAUACAUACUUGCAUGCAUGCAGGCAUAUAUGCACACAUGUAUAAAUACAUACAUAUAUGUUAUAUAUAUACAUAUACAUACACAAACAGAUACAUGUACAUGAAGCAUUCCAGAUUAACUAAAAACAACCGGAUAACAUUCAUUUUCAUCACCUAAAAUUCAUAUAUGCAUUAACAAAGUAUUAAUUUGAACUCUACUUUUUGGUCAGAUGAUCCAUUUUAUCUUAUUAGAUGGUUCCUCGCAUGACCUAUAAGAUCACAUAUUAUUCAUAUCAUAUUUUACAUUUUUUAUCUAUCAAAAUAUCUUGAUUUUAUAUCACAUCUCAAUUUUUGCUGCUCCUACAAUGCAGAUAUUUGCAAAAUUAAGGUCUCUUCGACCUCAAAAAAUCUUGGAUGAUUGUUUUAUUUUUCCCCAGAGCUUAUGGUAAAUAUUAAUUGAUCUUCUAGUUUACAUAGUUUACGUGACUUUACUUUUGUGUUCAUUAUAAAAUUUUUUUCUUGCGAUGCAAAAGAGAAAAUUAAAGAGCUCAAGGAAGAUUUGGAGAUGAUGAAAUGCCAAAUGAAGCAGUACAAGAAAAUAAUUAGCAAAGCAAGAAGAUACUGCUAGAAGGAGAUCUCGAUAAUCUCUCCGCCCUUAGGAAUCGAGUUAUCACCUCUAUCUGACCAACUUUCCAAUAUAUGAUUUUUUCCUUCCUUGAGUAUUUGAUGUAAUCAAUUUUUUCUAAUGAAAACUUAUAUAGGACAUUGUCAUGAACAAUUUUGUGUGCACAAACUCCUUGUAAUGGUAAUAGAUAUCAACUUGCUCAAUGAGUUAACAUUGCUUAUUGAUUGCUUUCAGUACAUCUACCACGCCCUUGAAGAAUGUUAUCAUGUGCAUUGGUUCCAUCCCUCUGUGCACUACCUUUAACACAACAUGCACCAAGAUAAAUUUUUUUGCACUGAGAUUAAAUCUGUAUGCACUAAAUAUAAAACUGUUGNNNNNNNNNNNNNNNNNNNNNNNNNNNNNNNNNNNNNNNNNNNNNNNNNNNNNNNNNNNNNNUAGAAAAGGAAGAGAAAGGAGACACACCGUUGACUCAAAUAUGUUAAUGCUGAUAAAAAAUAAAUUGUUGAACACCCUCUUUUGGACUAGCACUCCUAGCUUCCCUUCCUUUGAAGUAGAUUUAUUAGCUUCAUGAGUCACUAGAAAGAAGGUGAAAAGCCCACCACUUCCCUUUCUUCAUUCAUAGCCUAUUUAUUUGAUUGAUCUCCCUUCCAUAUUCAUUCGACCUGAAUUUGAAAAAAAGAGUAUUCAUAAAAAGAAAGGUUCUUUUAUGCAAUGCAUAACGGGCGGGCCUUCCGUGGAAUCCUCCAACUCAAUGAAUGAAGGGGGGAGUAUGAGGAAGGCCGACUUUCUUUCUAUAUGAAGAUGAAAAAAAGGAAAAGGAUCAAACAUUUUUUACUUAAGAAUAUGACUGCAUGAGAAAAAGCUCCUCAUGUGGCAUCACUUUACCACCAUCUGAAAUGCGCGAAACUUCGAUUGGUGUCAAACAACCCGCCAGAGUCUUUAAGCUUGAAAUAGAGAAAGAUAUUAAAGAAGAAAUUGAGAAGUUAUUGAAGGUUGGUUUCAUAAAGGCCAUACAACACCCCAUUUGGUUGACAAACAUAAUCCUUGUCUAGAAGAAUGGGCAAAUCUGCUGCUGUGUUGAUUUUUUAAAUCUAAAUAAAGCUUGUUCCAAAGAUGACUUCCUUUUGUCAAAUAUGGAUUUGCUCAUAGCCGCAACAGCUGGGCAUGAGUAGCUUAACUUCAAGACUAUAGCUAUUGUAACGAACAGACACAAUGAGCAACUUUUGUCAUAUCUCGGUUACCAUAACCCAACACCCAAAUCAAUCUCAUUACACUUUAAAUAUAACCCUUUUUUUAUUAAAAAAAAAGCCUUCACAGACAGAAUUAUAAAUAUCAGGACAAAAGUUUACGACAAUAAACUACGAAGCCAAAAAAAUACUGUUUGCCCACCAAGAACAAAGAGCCUUCAAUUCUUGGAACCUAGUACCCUAAGUUUAAUAUAAUAUCUAGGGAGAAAAUAAAAUCCUGUUUUGGUAGCUACACAAAACAUUGAUAACAACUAGGUACACAAAACCAACGCUAAAAGGAAUAAACAUCUAAUUCUCACCUUUAUUGUAUAGACUCCAUGAAGAACGCUCAUCAUAAAAGCUUGAGGUUGCAGAAAUUUUGAGGUUUUUGGGGUUCAAUAAAGAAGAAAACAGGAGAGGAAAAAGAGAAAGGGGAUGGAGUUCUCUUGACUGUUUUCACCAAAAGAGAAGGGAAUUCACCCUAACCAUAUAAAAUUGGUUUAAACCGGUUUACUUACAAUGUUCGCCCAGUUGAACCAAAAUAUUUUUUGGAUACUAAAUUGAUUGUUAAUGGAAUAUUGUGAUAGCUUUGUAACACAGUUUAACCCAGGGACUGCUUCCGAUAUUUCCUUAAAAAUAUAGUGACCACCAUACAAUAAACGGAAAGAAAUGGACUGACCUGUAAUUUCAGAAAGUACAGGCAUGGCCCUGCAAGAAACCCUUCACAGUAAGACUUUUCAAACCUUAUUAACAAGAAACUUUUGAAAGAAUGGGCGAAACCAGCUUUGAAAUAUUUUCAAUAACUCCCAUGAAUGCUUCCCAAGCAUCUCUUGCUCUAAAUUUUUUAGACUGCCCUUGUGCACCUACACUGUAUUGGGUUCUCACUUCAAAUAACCGAUAUCUGAUUAAUGUGGAUAACUCAAAACUUGUGGGGAGAUAAGAAGUUGCAGCAGAUAAAUCCUGAUUUUCAAUCACCUUCCAAACAUCAUCAACUGCCAUCAAUGCUUUGUUUCCACCAAUUACCUCUGGCUUCUCGGAGUCUUCCACAACACAAUCAUCAAAACGAUGCAAACAAUGCAUAGGGAUGCAGGGAGACCAAUCAAAACAGGAUCCUGUUUUACUUGCAUCGUCGGCAUCCUCUGUGUGUCAUCUAUUUAGAUCAAGGACAAAGCAAACCUUGAUAAUACGGACAACAGACCAUCCUGCGAAUCUAUGCAAGAAAAUUAUAUAAAUGCGAGUAGAUGAUUAAUGCAAGUGAACAUAUCUAAAUGAAUUUCUAGAUUCAAUUACCAUGAAUAUCUGCAGAAUAAGGAGAUCUCACACUAAUUCAUAACUAAAAAUAAACUAUAAUCACAUCAAUAAAUAUCAACUUUACAAGAGGCUUAGUAGGAUCAAGUGCAUGUGCUAAAUUCAGAUUGACCGAUGCCAAAAGAUAUGGCUUUUAAAGCAUACCACCAUAGAAACAUAACAAGAGAAGACUACAUCAGAAUGUAACAAAAGUUGCCCAUCCUCUGUGAAGUCCAGACUAAAGUAUAAAUGCCAAAAGCAUGGUUAACCCAUUACAGCUUCAAGUACCCACAAAAUAUAACUAAAAAUAUCUCCUCGCACCUAAUAAAGAAAGAAAACAACCAUAUUGACUGGAUAAUUGCUUCUACCGAAGAUAGGCCUAACAAUGCAAGCAACCUCUCCUGCAAGACAUGAAAUGAUAUAUUAUUCAUUUAAUUCAAUUAUGGAAAUGUUGAAGUGCUUUGCUGGAGUUUUUAACUUGGUGAACAUAUAAAACGACAACAAUCCAAAAGGCAGUACAACCAAAUUGCUUCAUGCAUUAAACAAAGGAAAAAUGUCAUCAGUGAUACGUAAGAUACCUUGUCACAUUCACCUUUGCCAUAUUUUGUGAUCUAGACAAUAAACGCAUCUCGAUAUACAAGAAAAGCAACAUGAUUAUACAUUAUAUUUUGAAAGUACAAGUUACAAUCCAUAAAACUGCCUUUGUUUUUGCAAUGAAAAUUUAUAAAUUCCUUGGUUUAGAGAUCAUGUUGGUUGCUUGUGGAAGUUCAAGGGCUGAAGGCCUUUUUUUUUGUCAUUUUCCUUCUAAUAUCUCUUCCCUUUUUUUCUGUAAUUUUUUUGUCCUCUCAAUGAAAUUGCCGGGGUUUCUCUCCCAAAAGAAGAAAAAAUUCAAAAAAAAUCUUUUAAAUCAUAUAACUGGAAAUUUCUACUUCAAGUACUAGAAGCUUCCAAAUUCAUGAUUUUCUUUACUUAUCGUAUAAUAAGUUAAAAACUUCAAAUGUAACAUAGAAACUAACGACCUAAACAACAGGACAUCAUAAUAUCACAAGAAGCAGUAAAUGACAUAAUCAUAGUCUGCUAGUGUUUAAAUUACAAAUCUUAAAAUCCAUUCUAAAACCAAAUAAUCUGCAAGUCAGCAUUUCUCUUCUCGCCUGUGCUGACUCGUGGCCAUUAUUUCAUUGGCUGCCCAGUAGGGCUGAAAAUGGAUUGUUUACCAAUCAGAUAUCAGUAUUUCCAAAUACAUAUCCAUUUUUAUUAGGUGAAAAUGAAUACGAAAGCAGAUAUUAAUUGGAUGCUAAGAUUUGUCAUAUUUGUUUUAAACAGAUCCAGGUUGACAAAACAGAUAUCAAUGCAGUCAUAGAUUGGAUUGUUAAGCAUUACGGUUAAAACAUUACUCUACAUUAUAUUUUACUGAUUUUACUAACUCAAAUAAGGAUAUAGGCUUUUUCUUUCAUUUUCUAAAAUAGACAAAAUGAUUUUACAAAAAAGCAACAAAAAUAACUACAUCCAUUUGAUGACCAGAUUCCUUUAGUGGAUCCUAAUAAUUCCUGCAAGUUACACACUUUGAAUUGAAAAACUGACUGCUAAGGAUAUAAUCUACCAAAUCAAAGAAGUUGAUGGAUGGAAAGGAAGCUACAUUAAAGAUAUCAACAAUUUAUUGCGAGUUUACAAAUAUGACAAUAAGAGUGUAUUCUCAUAUUCAGGUAUAGACCAAAUAUUUGCAUAUCCAUUUCUCUUUUCAUUGAUGGAUACAAAUACAGAUAUGGAUAUCAGUUGCAUGCUAAAAUCUGCAAUUCAUAUUCGAAUAUUUUGGAUAUGGAAAUGGAGCCUCCAAACUGCCUCGGUGCUCUGUGGCCUAGUUGACAGGUCUCAGCCAAUCAGAUGCAGUGCCUUUUUCCAAGGAAGAUGUUCAUGUUUAGUUUGGGUUCAGCAAUCAGGUUCCACCACAAUGGUGAUUCGGUUACAUUAAUUGGGACAGUUGGGUGCAUAUUGAACCUAUUGCUUAACAUACUCAUCUAAACCUCAUGAUUGCCUCUUUCCUACUCUUUCUAGGUUAUUCUCCUCCCUGUUCAACCACCUCACUGCUCACGCUCAACCAUUGGAAGCUCCAGUCCAUCAUCCAGACUGAUAGCUAAGAUAUUCGGCCAUGUGAGGCUCAUGAGUCCUUCAGCCAAUAAGGAGUUUUAGUUCUUAUUUCCAAUAGUAUAUAAGAAAAGGGACUUGGUUGAAGGGAGAAAAGGCUUUGCUGCUAUAACGUAACGAUGGGAGAAGCAAGGGAAGAAAAAAAGGCUUCCCAUGCUAUCAGAUUAUGGAAUCAUUCAGCUAUACUUUCUCAUUAACUGCAGCUUUUUUUUUUUUGAUAUGAAGGGAGGUUGCCCACCCAUGUUAUUAAGAAGGGAGAAAUUACAAAGAGUAAUGGGUUUGGCUAAGCCAUAAGCUGAGAUAGCUUGGUCCUUACCAGACCCCAAAGGAAAAGAAAAAUUCAGGUUUCCAGGUGUUUGAAAGUAAAAGGUCUUCAGCGACAAAGACUUAUGUCCUAGGCUUCCUUCAGAGCCUUAAUCAUUUCUGGCAGUUUGUGCUGAAACUCAUGGUUGGCUAAAGAUGUCCAACUCUCGAACAUAAUAGUACUGAGUUCCACAGUUUUCAGGGCUGAGUUUGCCUCGAUUUGAAGACCCAGCGAUGUUGUUCUUUCAUAGACACCAAAAGAUAGUGACCAUUAAAUUAUUCCAUAGUAUCUUCGGGUACUUGGUAGGCAGUCGAUCCCUCCAGGUUGACCAGAGAUCUUGAACUGCACUGGGUGGAGAGGGGAGGGGUGUUAUUUGGGAUAAUGAGGACCAUACAACUCCGGAAUAACCACAUGUUAAAGGGAGAUGAUCAACAUCCUCAUAUUGUUCGCAGCAUAUCAUAUAGACGGAUGGCGCUGGGAAUCCUCUUUUCCUAAGGUUCUCUGCUGUAAGGAUUUUAUAAUUAAAAACCAGAUUUUCUCUAGGAGCAACAUUUUCCAGUUGAAUUUUGCAAACUGGGACAUGACUCCUCCAUGGCUGAAGAAAUGAUAACAUUUUUUCAUCAUGAAAGUCUUCUUAGUAUCCCAUUUCCAUUGUGCUAUGUCGUUCUUUUGCGCUGUUGAUGGAGCUCAAAAGCUUGAUGAGGGAUUAGUAUUCUUCAAUGGCUCUGGCGCAUAAGGAUCAUAAAAUAAACUUUUAAGUUCCUCAUUUUCAAUUACUUGCUUUACUGAGAUGUUCAGGCUUGUCAGAAGGAAUAAGCUUGGGAAGAGUGAUUUGAGUGGUCCAUUUGCUGCCCAGCUGCCUGCCAAAACGCAAUCUGUCUGCCAUCUCCUAUCCUGAAGAUGAUGCUUGAGUUGGAAAAGGGUCUAACCUUCACUACGUUGCUCCAUGCACAGGAUGGGAAAUGAAGGCAAUCUCCAUGGCUUAUCUUGCUCCUGAAAAUACCUCCACCACCUCUUAAGAAGAAAGCAGUGGCUGAAAGUUUUCAAGUUUAACAAUCCCAAGCCAUCUAGUCUCUUCAGUCUGCAGAUAUGAUCCCAGCUAGCAAGGUAGCAUCCUCCAUUACAAUGUUUGUGACCCCUCCAUAGGAAGUUCCUCCAUUUCUUAUCUUUUUGAUGAUUUCAUGAGGGAGAAGGAAAGUGGAUAUCCAGUAGGUGGAAUGGACCUCGGCACUGCAUUAACCAAGCACAACCUGCCUCCAAAAGAGAGCAGCUUACCUUUCCAAGCUACUUCCUAUCUACUUUCUCGACAAGUUCCAAUCAGAAAGUCUGAGUUUGGCCAAGGGGGAGCCGAGGUAGUUAACAUGAAGGGUUGCUUGGAAACAUCCCAAAAUUGUGGCAAAAUUCUUGCUUAUAUCUUUCGGCAAGUCCAUUCUUAUCAUAGAACUCUUAUCAAAGUUUAUUUUCAAGCCUGAAGGUAUCGUCGGCAACUCAGCAUAUUGAAGGUGUCACCAAUCAUGUUUAACGGUCCAAUGCUAGCUAUCAAGCCAAUUUUUUGUGCAAUUCUUACUGUUUGGUCCCGGAUAUCGGUGAUAAGGAUGAACAGUAGUGUGCGUGGUCUAUCAAACUAGACUGAACCGCCCGAUUCGGCCCGUACCGAACUGACCCGACACGGACCAGGUUAGUUCGGCUGUGGGGUUUGGAUCCGAACACGAACCGGUCAGAAUCUGUCCAAACCAACCUCGAACCGCUCGAAACCGGUCCAAAUCGGCCGGUUCGCAUCAGACCGAUUCUCCCUCUCUUCCUCUUUAUUUAUGUGUUGGGAGAACUGUUGGGAAGGCUCGAGAACCUUCUCCAGCCUUCAUUGAAGUCUUCAACCCCCCGGCCAAAAAAACACGAUUUAAGAUGAUUCAAGGAGGAUCCAGCCCAAAAUAAGGUAUGCUUCCUCUCUCCUACCUCAUUUUCUUCUUUUUUCUUCAAAGAUGAAAAAUGCCUCAAUUUACAAAAUGAGGAAAGAUCAUCCCAAAAUUUUCGAUUUUGGCAUGAUUUCAUGAUAUGUUAUAGAUCUAUGGCUGAUCUGCACAAUCCUACUAAAAUUUUUAAUUUUUGAAUUAUAUAUAAUUUUUAAAAUAAAAAAAUAUAUUUUUUGAUUAAAAAUUAAUAAAAUAAAAUAAAAUUCAAAAAAUAACUGUAAAAUCAGAAGCUUAUCUAAGGACAUGCAAGCUAUUCUCAGCAAAAUUUGGUGCUAAUUAUUUAAGUUUUGACACGAUAAUGGGCAUAAUGGCCUAGACCAAAUUUAAAAAAAUAGAAAAGAAAGUAACCAUUGAUGCAUGCCUAUAGGCUUCGAAAAAUAUAUAUAGCAUCCAUGAUAAGCUUCUACAUAAAUCUGAGCUCAAAUUAAUUUUCUAAAAUAUUUGUAUUUAAAAAUUAUUUUUUAGUUUAAAAAAUGAUUAAAAGUAUAUAAUUAAUACAAAAAAUAUAAAAAAUUAGUAAUACGUAUUACAUAUUUCAGAAGUAUUUUCUGAAGUAAAAAAUAUAUUUCUUUGAAUUUAUGAUAUUUAAAGAUAUUUUUUUAAUUUAAAAAUUAUUAAAAUUAUAUAAAUAAAUCAAAAAAUAUAAAAAAAUAGUACUAUGUAUUAGAUAAGUCAGAUGUAUUUUCUGAAAUAGAAAAAUAUAUUUUUUAAUCGUAACAAAAUUUUGCUAUUUUUAAAUAAUUAAUUAAAUUGACGUGUUCAAUAAACUUACCGGAAUGGAACUAUCAAGAAAAAAAGAUUCAGAGUGUGUCAUUAGUUGGGAUCAAGGGCAAAUGCUCUCGAAUUGGCACUAUCCCGACAUAUCUAUAUAUAUCACAAAUGCCUAUAGGAGUUCCGACAGCUGGUAAAAUCAGCAAAAGAGAAGAUUUCUAAGAAGAAGACGAAGGUGGACCGCCGAGCAAAAAAUCGUGACUCACUAUACAUAGAUGUUCUACCUCCAAGACCCUAUUUCCCUUGCAAGACCCAUAAACAAGAAUUGAAUAAAUGGGAAAUGGGGAGCAAACCCAUGCCAUGCCAGCCAUUAUAUAAAAUAGGUAGCAGGCCUUGUCUGGGUACCCUUUCGAGCACAACCCAAGGAUUAGGAGAUUAAAAGUCAAGAAUAGUGGGAGAACACAAACGCCUAGUGGAAGGCGGAAUGGAGGGACUCAAGGUAGUGGAGGAGAACGUUAGGGUGGCGGAUGAUGAGGGGAGCCGGAGGCAAGGUUGAUGGCCAAUUUGGGGUUGGGAUAUCACAUAAUUUGGAGCGGGAAGUUUUCUUGUUAGCAAGUGCUAUCUAGGGUAUUUUAGUCCAAAAGUUGUCAUAUGACCAUCGCAUGAUACAACCAAGGUUUUAAAUCCCUUAGGAUAGGGUUAUCCCAGUUUGCCCAUGGAAUGGGGUACACCGCCAUCUCGCUCUAUCCCAAGUGUUGUCUCGGUUUGCCCAUGGAAUGACAUGCUGCCAUCUCACCCCAUCCCAACACUUCGGACAUGGGAUGUCCUAAGAUAUGCCGAUCAGGACACUGAGAUAAUGGCAAGACGGUCUUGUCCUGACACUCAGGACAAUGCCUCGUCUCGAUGUUCCACAGAAUGCCCCACUGGGAUUUGAGACCAUGACACAAUCCAUUGAGAUCAUGUAAAUGAAGAUAGACGAUGGGACCGCAAUGGAUCACUUAACGAACUUAAGGGAUCUAAUUGAAAAUUUUUGAAUAAGAGAAAAGUAAGUGAAAUUUACCCUAAGUUGAGGGGUGAGGGGAAAACUUAUAUGCUGUGAGAUAAUGGCUAGUUGGAAGUUUUUUUUGUUUAGCUACCAAUUGAUGUUGUAGUGGUCUGUUUGGUUGCUUUUAGGUAUUGCACAUAAAUAUUAUUGGUAGGAUUCUUUUUUAUGCUAAUGGAGGCAAGGAUACAAGAAACGUUAGGUUAACAGAAUUUGCUUAUUUUGUCAUUGAUGUUGUAUACUCCAUGAAUCUUUAAUUCAAUAUCAUAUAACUCAAGUUUCCUUGCAUUCUUUUUCGAGUUCUAUUCCUAGCACCCUUUUACCCUUCAAAAAAACAUUAUAGUUCGCAUGAUUGUUUUCUUUUAUUUGUUGUUGUUGUAUCUUUUUUAUUAAUAACCAUGCAUCUAGACAAUUUUUUGCCAAAGAGGUCACGUUUAGAUCUUAUCUAGUGCAGUCAGGUUCACAAUAUGAACAUCAUUAUGGUUCAAAUUUAAUCAAGGAACAAUAAUACGUCAUAAAAACAUAUUACCAACAAACAUUGCAUAUUACAUAGUUAUACAUGACAUACACUAUUCGUUUAAGAUUUGAUUGUAAUUAUGCUUCAAGUUACGCCUCUCGAAAUACCUUGUUAAUAUUUUUUAUGGUGCACUGGAAGUGCUUUAUUGAUAUUCGAAAAGCAACAUGAACAUUACAAGUUAUAGUUUGUGAGUAAAUGCUCUGCAAUAUUACUAAAAGUUAACAGUACUAAACUGCUAAUACUUUAGUAGUCCUUCCAUGCAUUCUUUUAUUUUGACAUAUCCAAGAUAGAAGGUCAAACCUUAUCAGCAAGAAGAAGACCUUCAUCAAAUGAACUUGGCGUAAUUUUAGUCCAAUCUGCCAGGUUUUAAGUUUGAUGGGGGCUUAGAUUUUGUUUUAGUUUGAUGGGGGUUGAGAUUUAGUUUUUUAAAAGUUUAGGGAGUAUUUUCCUCAAUCUUGCCCAUCAAGGGUCUGAUCUAACCUACCAAUCCCUAUUUUUCCCUUCCGUGUUUGACCAUGAAUCUAAACUUUGAUUUUUCCUCCUUUCUUUUAGGGGAAAUAAGGAAAGGGUCAUUUAAUUUAUAGGAUCCAAGUUAGAAAGUUUGAAAGAGGUUUUAAUUUAUAUAAAAUGUAUUUUGCUGUCAUUUAAGAACUAUUCGCAUAAAAAAAAAACAUUUUUUUCACCUCUUUGGAAGAGGGCCUAUAAAUUUUGGCUCUGAAACGAGAUUCACAGGUUGAAAUUGCAGAAAUCAAAAUAAAUUCAGAAAUUAUCGUCUUUUCUGUUUAUUUUUUCAGAUCUGAAAUCACAUUCAGAUUCAUACAAGUGUGGAUUUUAGAUCAAUUCUAAACUACAUUUGGAAAUCAAUUUGAAGGUUUCCUUCAGAAUAUCGGUUUAUAUCAGGACUCCUUUGACCAGGAGCAGAGAUUUAAUACAAUUUAUAAGUCCUACUCCAUAACUCUGAUGAGGAGAUCAAUAAAAUGCAUGAAUUAAUAUCAAAUAAUAACAUUUUGAAUUUCAUAAAACCAGAACCAAUAAGAAUUUCAAUUAGAAUGAAGAGCAGUUCCUGAAGUCUAAUGCUUUGUGUCCAUAAACUAGAGAAAGGAAAGUUUUUCAUAAGGACGGCUCCUUAAUUCUUCAAUCAGACUAGUAAUAACUCGAUCAUAAUUUCAAUAAUUAAAGCUCACAGAUUGGAGAAAAGCAAAUAAUUUUAUAGAAUAACUUUCGCAGAAUGUCAUUUGAACUGACAUUUUAUAUAGUUCAUGUAAUAGACAAAAAGAAAAGAAGUUAAGCAAAAGUGCAGUUACAGCUGUAUAUACAGUGGUUUCCAUGUCUUAUUGGCAUUAUGUCAAGCAUGGGGUGCUCUAGAAAUAUAGUUUGAGAUUUGUCUAAAAUUUAAAAAGGUAACUUAGAAAAAGAUUGAAUACCGAGUUUCUCAUAAAACAGAGAAUAACUGAAGGUGAAUGGAGAAAAGAGUGACUGACUCACAGGUAUAUUGAUGUUAAUGCUAUAUUCAGAAAACCAUGCUGCUUUUUCCAUUCUUACCAACUUUUAGUUCAGCUCAAAUGCAGGUGCUUCACCUAAACUUUGGCCUCUUCGAAGGCACACCCUUCCUUAUAUCUGGAACACGGGACUUCACAAGGGCUUUUGCCUUCCUUCUCCUCCUCUCUUCUUCACUGUCUGAUUCAUCACCCUUCUCCCUGUCAGCAUUACUUGCCUCCCGCUCCAGCUCCUCCCAAGUCUUCCCCUUCUCCUCAGAGUCCUCUGAAUCCUCCUCUUCAUCUUCAUCUGACUCCACCAGUGACUCACUGCCAUUAUCAUCACCCUCAGAAGCAGAAUCCGGCUCCAGAUCAGAGGGCUCAUACCCUUGGUCUGAUUCCUCAGUAUUAUCUGAUUCUGAGUCACUUGCCUCCAAGUUUAGGAACUCCCAUCCACCAUCUUCAAUAAACUUCUGAGGGUCAUCAAUAAUAGUUUUCAAGAUCGGGCGCCAAUUUAAGUUCAACCUGCUCUCAUAAUACUUCAGAUCAGUAGUGUCGAGCCACUCUUUAAUUCCAUCUAAAGAUGUGGAUGGAAUAGAAUCUAUGCGAAGAACAUCUUUCUUGAAGUCUUUGAAUACGAUGGUCAUGUCAAAGUUCUUCUGUCCAAGCCCUACCCUUUCCAGAUUAACAAUUUCAAUCUCACUCAAAGUAACUACCAGAAAUGGGGUCUCAGUAAGUUCAACUAAACAGCUUGAAGUUGGAACAAUGAAAGCUGAAGCCUUAUGAGGAACUCCAUGGAAACCAAGCUCCCUCAGAGGCAUAUCAAACUCCAGAUCUAGAUCUUUGAGUUGUGGUUGUGCCCAAUGGUCAUGUACCUUGUUGAUGAAGUUCUGAAAAUCCAUGUUUAUUCUGUUUUUUCUUUCCCUCUCACGCUGCUCUUCCUCUAUCUCAUCAGGAUCGAUGGCUGAUCUCCUCCCACCACCCAAUGUCUGCACAACAUCCAUCACUUCGACAUAAAAUUGGACAUCUUUAGUCUUCCUAUUGCCCACCAUUAUGUGAUUGUGCAGAUGAAAGUGCAGAAGUGUAAUCAUUUCUCUCUCUGCAGGCUGGAAGAAGGCAUGCUUAAUGUUUCCAUACAUAAUAUCCACUCUCUCAUCAGAUCUGGAUGUCGAAUACCGGAAUCCAUUAAUAUGAGCCUCUAAAAUGCCAGGUAGCUUUCUUCCACGACCACCAAACGUGGGGCGUAUCCACAAGUCUGAUAACCUGAUCGGUUUCAACCUGUUGCCAGAAAGCUGUAGUUUCUCCUGAGUAACCAAAGUGGCCCUCUCAGCUCUCUCUGACUCCCUAGAUGCAACUUGCCUUCUAAGGGUCUUGAUCAGUUGUACCACUUCACUGCUAUGCCUCGGAUCCUUGGAACGGAAGGUGAUCUCCUUCAAAUAGAUAGCACCUUGAAAUUUAAGGGAGUUCGCAUCAUGGGGGUUAAAAGGUGUACCAGGCACAUUGAAUAUUAUACGGAUUGUGCAGGUUCGAUUGUCUUGAUGCGAAGUCACACUCUUCACAGUAGAGACAUGGAAGGGAACCAUGCUUCCAUAUAUUGGUAAAAGAAUAGCUUCAUUCCUCUGGUCCACUUGUAUCACCAGCUCCCUUGAAUAGGGUAUAUCAUUGACAUUCUUGUAAGCAGUUAGUUCAGUCGAAGUUCUUACAGGACCUCGCCCAUCUGCAUUUGCAGAGCCACCACCAGCUAGCCUCCUGGCAGUCUCUUCGUUCUUCUGGCGAGCAAGUUCUGCUUGGUGUUGUCUCCGCAGCUCUUCCUUCGACAUCUCCUGGUUGUCCGACCUCAGUGUUGCUUUGGAUGGAAAGGGACCCGUGCCAUUAACUGGAGGUCUGGCCCUGGGAGGUUCCUCUUCUUCCUCUUCCUCAUUAAAUGAGUAAGCAAUGUCCUUGACUGCCUUGAAGCACCCUGCAGUCAAGACUUCUGAGGGCUUUUCACUAACAAUAACAGUGUCAGCCAGCAAAAGAGAGAAUGUCUGAGUCUUCGGAUUGUUUGUCUCAGCACGGAGGUUCUGGAAACCAAGCGAGACAUUAAAAACCAUGCCCGCCUUCAGAGACCGAUCAGUUUUCGAAUUUAGGCUAAACCCAGAUUCACGGAACUCGAGGCCAAUUCCUGUUCCAGCUGACUUGGUUAGAUUUGGAAGGAGUUCUGGUGCUUCUUUCUCAACCACAGCAACUGCAGCCUGGUAAGCAGAACUAACCUUAUUACCAGGCUUCAAAGCACCUAUUGCAGCAUCAUGAGCCUUGAGGAGAACUUCGUAUGCCUUACUCUGUGAUGCAGUAGCAUCAAUCAAAAAUGUUCUGGCAACAUUUGAGCAAUAACUGUUGUAGCGUGAGCCAAUUGCACAUAUGAUAACACUUGUUGAGUCAUAGUACAGAUUGUCAUCAUUACUUGAUGCGCUAGGCCUAAGGUCAAACUUCCCACCACUCUGAACGAUAGGAGGAUAGCAUAUAUCAACAUUUUCUGCCUUCAGCUUGACCUUGAUCUUGGAUGGAUCAAGUAUCACCUUUUCUGUAUCAUCCAUUAGUGAAGAAUGAGAGACCUUCCUUUCUUCAUCAAUAGCCUUCUCAAGCUUUGGGACCACAAAGUUCUUCAUCACUGAUGAAGUUAAAUAUGCAGCUUUCCUCGCACAAGUGAGCUCAAUGGCAUCUUUGACAGCAAACAGUUCCGAGAAACCAGGUGUCACAUCAGUGAGCUGUAACAUUGAACCACCCAGCUUCUCAGACCAUCUUUCAAGAAGCUUCCCUUCCGGCGCCUCUUUUGCAAUGUAUCCAACAAUUGGAUCAGAUUUGGACUGAGAACGAACAGCACGCAAUAUCUCAUCCAUCAAGGCAGUCCCAUCAUCAUUCUUUGCCUUAACAUGUAUGACAACAUCGGUACCAACAGCUUCCUUCGCAGACUUCUUAAGGGUUUCAAGCAGAGUGGCUUUCUUCUGACUACACAAGAAAUGGAUCUGCUUGCUCAUGAAAACCAUGAUCGUCUCUGGGAACUCAUAUCCAAGCAACCAGAUAUUCAAGGAUGAUGACUUCAGAUACCGAAGAUCUUCAGAAGUAGGGGGAGUUGCAAUGGUUAUAGCAUCGGCAGAGCCCCACAAAUCAGCUUUGUGCUCCUUCCAGUGUGUAUAAAACCCCUGCAGACGCUUGCUGAAAUUCUCAAGAUUGAUUGUGUACGCACCAGCCCCAGAGGCAGAUGGUUUUGUGCUUUGAUGAUCAGCCAUCAGUCACCAAGUCACCACAAACAACAGCUACUAUUUUUUAAAAUGAUGCUGAUUGAUUAUUGAUGUCCUCUAAUCUCUCACAGAGUAGAUUAACCUGACAAGAAAAAAUCCACAUAUAUAAGGAUCCAAAUAUGUCAAAAUAGAAUGCGAAAAGAAAGAUGAUACAUCUCUACUAUCUGCUAACAUAGAGCAAAAAUUUCAUGUCCAGCUGUGUAUAGCCGUGGGCACCAUUCCAUCACAUGCUUGGCACAUGCCCUGAGAUAUGACAAGUAACUGCACACUUCUCCCCUCUUUGUACACAUUCCCAUCUUUACUUAUUACACCUCCUUGGUUCAACCAAUCACAAUUCUCAUUUUGGUCCUCCUCCAUCAAUGAUUCCCUUAACUGCCAAUGCUCAUUAUAAAUCCUACCAGAGAUCUAUCUUUGUUCUUUUUCUGGACAAACUACAGACCAAUUUCUAAGCAGAACAUGCAGCACGAAUGCCAAAAUUUCACUGUAUUAUAAAUGUAAACUAAAAUUCACAACAAAAACGGAUACUGCUCAAUAACAUUUUCCCCUUCUAUGUAGGAACAGCUAUAGUUUAAGCAAAUCGAUAAUAAAAUUUCAAACGAACACUAAGAUGCUAUGAAAUCAAAAGUUUGUUGCUCCAAAUUUUUUAUUUGAGGAAAACAUUUAAAAAUGGAAAAGAACAAAUUGUCCAGAGAAAACGAACCUCAACGAAUGCCCCACAAAAUAGCAAAAAAUUAAGAUAAGUCCAAAAGAUCUCCCAUUCUCACAAGCACAGAAACGAGUCCAUCCCAUAUACUCCUUUAAGGUUAGUUCAAGGGCUUCAGAAAAACCAAAAUAUCAACAAAAUGCACAAAAUUCCAUCAUAAUUCCCACGGAGAACCUAGAAACGACUUCCUCCUCUCCCACGAUCACCAACCAGCACCCGUCCAAAAAACACAAACUUGAACUUUGGGUUAGGGUUCGAAGGAGGGUUGGGACCAUCUCAAUCCCCGAAAGCCAGAAACAAACCAACAGAUUAAACAAAGCAAAGAGUCAAAAUACCUCAAACUUCGCCCUCCGUUUUGCUCCUAUCAGCAGCUCCAAUCCACCCGUUCCUGCCCCAAAAAAUCAAAACCAAAGUUAGGGUUAGGGUUUCCGCGACUUCCAAUCAAGCUCAAAUCCACGCCUCAAAGAAAAGAAAUAAAGCAGCAAAGUUACUCGUUUCUCUCCUCCCCGAGAGCCCCCUUCGUCGGCAAUUCCGAUUCUGCCGCGGCCGACUUGUUUCCUAUCGAGGAAGGGCUAGGGUUAAGGUUCCGGAAACGCUCGAAAUGGGGGAAUUCGGCGGCUCAGGAACCCUAGAAGAAGACGAAAUCCAAUCGAAGGAGAGGACUGUAAAGGAAAAGAGAGAAGAUUUGAAGAAGAGAAGAGGAUAAAUCGAGGGCCUGAGGAAAGAAAAAGAAAAAGAAAAAUCGGAACUUUUUUUUAUAGGAGAGGGGAGAGGUCGAGAUACGAAGAGGGAGGAAGAAAAAAAUAAAAAAAAAAGGUCGAGAGAGGGACAGAAGAAGGGAUUCAAUAUCGGGGAGAGAGAGAAUUCGACCGCCCGCCUUUGAGACCAUUUAUACGUGCUGACGCCCUCGCAGAUUUCGGGAUCGACUCGACGCCGACCCGAAUCCGUUUUGCUCUUCUGAAACGGGUUUGGGUCGGAUCAUUGGAUCAUGUUCGGUUUGGGAUUAGCCCUGCAUCUGUAUUCAAGUUCAAAACACACACAUUACAGAGAAUUAUGUUAUUGAACAGUCUACUUUCUCUUGGUAAUGUUGGUUACGCUCACGCGAGAUUAAUGUGAGUAGCAUAUGUACUAAAAAAAAGAGAGAGAGAGAGAGAAAUUAUAUUCUAUGCGACGUGCACCACAUGCACGUUGCCAAUCACAGUCGCUCGUUUCUAUUCUGUGCUUCAAAAUGAGCGCUUAAUAAAUAAGGCCAAUAAAAACGAGUGCUAAUAUUGGUGCACCGCCGUAGAAACGAGCAGAUGUGAUUGGCAUCAUGCAUGGUCAUAUGGUACAUGGAGAUAUAAUUUAGGGAGAGAAAGAGCUAUUCAUAAUUUUGGGGUUAGAGGCAUUUGUGAAGCUAUAUUUGCCGAUGGCUUGGAAAAUGAGGUGAGGAUACAUUGUCAUCGAGGAGGUGUUAACCUACUAAGCUAAUAAUUUUUGAUCGAAAGUAUCUUCGCAAGAGUCAAUAUGGUAAUAAUGAAGGGAAUUUUCUCCUAUACAUAAGAUUCUUUAUCCUGCAAAGACUUCUUACCUCAUAUGCUCUCUCUUCAUGACAACCAUAAGAACAAAAAGGGUGAUGUUACUCACACGUGAGGCAACCCAUAGAUCGGAAAAGGCAUGCGGAAACUUGCGACCCGCAUCGAACAUUCUCUGAUAGAAGGGGGGCCUAGUGGAGCUUGCUAUGCAGGUGGGUUUGUCCCUCGAACAUUCCCCAAUAGAAAGGGGGCCCAGUGGGGCUUGCUAUGCAGGAAGUCCAAAUAGAAGAACUAUGUAGAUUCUUGCAGCCAUGAUAUCUAUCAUGCUAAGAUUUGUAGAGACAGACGGGUCUGUUUGUGAGGACUUGCAGUUAUCCCUACCCUCUGCGUAGUGUAAGCAUGACAAACACUGCUAUACAUAUAUAUAUACAUAUAUACAUAUAUAUAUACAUAUAUACAUAUAUAUAUGUAUAUACAUAUAUACAUAUAUAUGUAUAUAUAUAUACAUAUAUAUGUAUGUAUGUAUGUAUAUGUGUACAUACAUAUGUAUGUAUGUAUGUAUGUAGGUACGUACGUCUUGUUGUGCCUCUGAUAAUGCUUGCUAACAAGCUAUGCCCACUUUGAUUCAAAUUUAGCCAGCAAAUGAGCUAUUUGCAUCCAACCACUUCUUUUGCCUCCGACCGUUCCAUCAGAUAGGGUUGCUGACAGAUCACCGAAGAUUGCAUAUUCAACCCUUAAUUGAUCACCUGAUCAGAACAAGCGGAUUAGGUAGUUUGCACCAUCGGUCUAGGAUGCAUAAAAAGAUUCAUCAUCCAGUACAUUUCCUAUGCUUCAUUUCUUUGACGACAAUGGCUGUAUUGCCCUCGUCAGUCUUCUCUUUGUUUGUCUGAUAAGUUACAUUACAGAGGUCCAUCCGAGUGCAACCCAUGUUCUCAUAUCCAUUAUUCUGAUACUCCUCAUGAUCAGUGAUCUGCUGCUUCUGUAUAUCACAAUCUCCCAUGUUGCCAAACUCAUGCCUCUUGACACUAUCAAACUUCGAAAGUAAGCGAAGAAAACGAACCACAUCUUCUCAGCAAGUUCAUGGUUGUGUUCCUCCUCAAAUUUAUUUACUUUCCAAUUCCGAAUCAACUUAAGUCUAUCUGGAUAGCCACUUCCCACUACGACUUAGCAAGUUCACCCAGUUAAUAAAGAGAGCAUCAUUUCUUUUCUCGAGAGAGAAACGUUGCUGCAUGGACUCAACGUCCAUGUCAAGCUCAAUCUUCCUCCCUUCAGGCUACAAUAAAAUUUGUGUUGCUUUAAGCAACGUUGUUAUUAGAGAAUACGAUAUGGGGAUUACCCUUCUCCCUUCGACCUAACUAGAAGUAAAAGUGGAUCGGAUAAUAUCUAUUGGGAUAUGAAACUAUUCAGAUAGAGAUAGAAAUUUGAGAAUUCGACUAAUAUCCAUAUCCGUAUCCAUAAAAGAAAAAUAGAUAUGGAUAUGAAUAUAGAUAGACAAUGAUCAAUCCGUAUCCGAAUAUCUAAUUUCAUUUAUAACCCUAUUUAAUUUUAUAUAGCACUCAUAAACUUUUUAAAAAAAAUAAAAACCACAUUAACAUUACUAUUAACUUAAUUUAUCAUCCACUUAGUAAUAUCUUUAAUUUUAGUCAUAAAGUUUAAUUGUCUGAUUUAUGUUAGUAUUUAUAUCCGUACUUUUGAUAUCCAAUUUGUAACCCCAUCCUGUUAAAACAAAUAUGGAUUUGAAUUUUUGCAUCCGACUAACAUUCAUAUCUGUAUCUGUAUUCGUCAAAUAAAAUAAAUAUAGAUAUAGAUGUACUAGUAUCCAAUCUGAUUUCAGCCUAAAGCUAACCUACUCCUUCAAAUUUCAAAAUUGCCAUCUAUUUUGAGCCCCUCUCUCUCUAAAUUGUAAAAAAAAUGGCAUUAUAAAUAGUUAUAUAUUUAAUUCAAAAAGAGAGUGAAAAGAAAAAUCCAACCCUUCAAGAUAGCACCAAAUGUUGAUAUAAAUUGGUGGGUAGGGUAAAGUAAAAGAGGAGAUGAAGCAAAGCCUCCUCUUUUCAAUGGUAUUUAUGAAAAAAAGUGCAUCAUGCAAUUAAAAUUAUCUUCCAUCUUUUGGGAGGUCGUAGUGGUUGGAUAGUCUGAGUCACUACCAUGCAAAUGCCAGACAUGGUUUUGUCAUGGAGGUCGCCUGCCAUUUAUUUAACAAUGGAGACAAGGCAUCAUACCCAUGUUUGUCCAAAUAGGUGUAGAUGAAGAUAUCGGAUUGCACAGAAGUAAAUAUGAUUGUUUCAAAAAAAACUGGGCAAUGGAAAAUACAUGAAAGAAGUUCCUAAGGUCUACAUAAUACUGCCUUGGAAACUACUUAUUCAACCAAACCCUAUUACCAAGCUACACAAAUCUCCACAUGCCAUGUGAUAGAAAGAACUUGUUUCCCAAGUGCUUGACCCAGAUGAUUCUGAUUAGUGGUACUCCCCACUGUUUUUUUUGUUAUCAACAGAAAAAAAGGACCUUAAAAUAACAAAAUGUUAAUGUAAUCAAUCUAGAAUGCUUGAUGAUGCUAAUAAUUUAAAGUUUAAACUAUUUACAAACUUAUAUGAAGUGCUAAAACAUGUUGACUGAGAUGCACAACAAAACUGUUCAUGGCCCAUCCCUCCCAUGAAGCAUAUCAAAUUUAAUCACCAUUCCAUCUUUCUUUGCAUAAGAGUAUAAUACAAGUAACCAAAAAUGACCCAUUGGCACAAGAAUCAGUUCUACCAGCAAGGGAGUAUGGCUUUGUGAGCAAUUUCUUACACCUUGAUGGUCAAGCCUUGAAAGCUGCUAAUGAAUCACCAUUUUGACCUGCGUGAGGGCUGCAGCAGAGACAUUCCACUGAGAGAACCCACAUUUGAUUAAAUAGAAGACAGGCAGUUCAUCAAGCAUGAGCUAAUGCAUUCUAUAGAUUGUAAAUGAAAUUAAUUACUCAAUAUCAUAAUGCAAGACCCCCCCACCACCACCAAAAGAAAAGAAAGAAAAAAAAACUUUAAUGUCUUCCACCAUUUAUGGAAUACGUACAAAAAAUCAUCCUUCCUUUGUUAGAACCAAUCUAUGGACAGAUAAACCACAGAAACACUCCCAUUUGUCUUCUGCAUUGUUCCCAGAGCCAAACCUGUAAAACACAUACAGGCAACAUUAGGAAACAUCCUUCAGUCAUGUUCCCAAAUGUCCUGAAAGAGAUCAUCCUUUAAAGUGGGUGUUAAAAUAAUUGGCAGAGAAAUUCUCCUCUAAAGAGGGUUAUACUGGAAGAAAAUUUAAAGCAAAUGUAGUUUAAAAGGCAUGAAUGUUAUUAAGACGAGUAACAUAGGGCAAAAAAUUCAACAAUAUUACUCCUACUGACAGGCAAGAGGCUAGGAAAAUAGUUUCAAAAAAAUGGUACAAAAAUUAUAGUUCGGUAUGAAGCACAAAGCCUCUCUGCAUCAGCAACAAGAUAACAAUUAUGUAAAGUAUAUACCAUGAAGCACUACCUACAUAUCCCAUUCAUCAUGUCAUAGAAAGAAUUAGAUGUUUUGUCAGGAUCCAUUUAGUUGACAGUGAUUGUUAGCAUUUAGCAAAACUAUGGAGCAAAACCUCUCUGCAAAUUUUAAAUCUUAGAUCAACUAAAGAUAAAAUGUAAAGUAUAUUUAAGAAGAUUAAGGGAUUAAAAGAGCAAGAGAAUUUUGGUGAGCCAACUUAAAUCAUUUUCUAAGGCUAGCAAGUCAAAACUCCAUGCAACUCAGAUAAUUUGGGAAAGCUGUGUAUGACCACCAUCAUGGCAGUUGUUUUGACCCAGUCCACCAAUGCUUGGGUGGCUCAACAGGUAAAAGAAAGAAAGAAAAAAUUUGUGUCAAAUCAAAUGAUUUCUAAUGUGUUUCAAGCUAGAAUGAUUUGUCCUUGACUUCAGGCAAGCCAAAAAACUCGAAUGAAUUUAAAACUCCUGAAUCAAGCUGUAAGAUUUUUCGAUAAUAUCAAUCUCUUAAAGAGUUAAAGCUCUCAAAAGCUACAUGGCGUAAAAUCUUCAGUAAUUAUGAAUUACUGCAUUAAGGUGAUAAAAUCAAUAGCUACUCAAAACUGCAACUUUCAAAGCGUGGUCGUUGAUUGGCUGCUUUAAUAAUUAAAAUCUCCUGGCAUUUAUACAUGAUAGAGGGCUUGGCCAGUUAUUCCAUUCAUUACACUAGGAUAAAGGUAUUUUCGAUUAGCGUUGGAAGUAGACCGGGCCGGGCCAAGCUAGGACCCUACUCGAACCCGGCUCGAAUUUUUUUUCGGGCCGGGCUUAGGCCCAAAAUUUUUUAGAUAAUCUAGGCCCGAGCCCGACCCAAGCCUAGGGCCGAGCCUGGCCCGAAUCCGAUUGGGCCAACCCGAAUUACCUGUUUGGGACAAAAAUAGGUCCGGCCCAAACUCGAUUGAAAUUUAAUAUUUCAUAAUAUUGCUUGACAAGUAAAUGAGCUAGUUAAAAUUAGGCUUUCUCCUAUAACACAAAUAAAAUACAUGAUACAUUAUUCUCAGCUAAACCAAUUUUAAUUUGUCCUUUACUUCAUCAUUAUUCUCUUUAAAUAACAACAUACAAAAACAAAUUGAUUCGGGCUCCAUGUCGGGCUUGGGCCGGCCCGGCCCAAUAACAUACCCAAGCCCGGCCCGACAAACAAAUGAGCUCUACAUUUAAGCCCAAAUCCGGUCUGAACUCUUUCGGGCCUAGCUCAAAGCGCGGCUCGGCCAAAUGGGCCUCGGGCCGGCCUGAGCCUAUUUCCAACCCUAUUUCUCAUUUUCACAAUAUUUUUCUCCCUAAGAAAUUAUGGAUGCAGUGGUCAUUAUUUAAAUAACAAAAUUCAUACGUGUUUCUUCUUUGCAUUAGUUUAAAUAUAAUUAAAUGUAUGAAAGAGGAUAUAAUUAUAAUUUUUUAUGUUUAUUCUAAUUAUUUCUUAGGUAACUAAGAAGUUCAUAGAUAAUACUGACUUUUUAGCUAUUCAUUUAAUGAAUUUUUCCAUGUUGGAUUAUAUAUGCCAAGGUCACUAGUUUUGUGGCAUAAAGUUCCUGUGCAGAUGGUUGAUUUCCAAGGUGAUUCUAGGAUCAUGUCCUUUUUUUUGAAGAACAAAAAAGUUAUUCUAACUUUUGGACAGGGCCAUGCAAUACAGGUAACUAAUGUACGGCAGACCUUUUCUUAAGUAAUAUCAGCAGCUGAAGCAGUUCAAGGAAGUCAAGUGAAGCAAAGGUAAUUUUGUCGGAUGUAUAGCAAACCAGAUUUAUAUUAUACCAUAUCAUUUUAUACAACAUUUUAGUUUUUUAUACGGUAUUUUCUGGGACUGAUUUAGGAUUAAGUUGUUAAUUAUAGAGGUCUUUCAACCUCAGAAGAUCAAUUUUUUUGACAUGUAUUACUUUCACAAGGAUUGCGCAAUUGCAUCCCAUGCCCAAAGUGGCGGAGCCAGGAUUUUUUUUUUUUUUUGGUGUGUGGUGGGUGGGGGGGGGGGGGUGCAACAUUAGCAAUUAAUGAUUCAUGAAUAUUUCUUUUGCUGGCUACAAAAAUUUAGAGCUUAAAUUCUACACCUUUUACACAAAUAAAAUAAAAAAAAUUAAAAUGCCAAAAGAAGAAAAAAUUAUACUUAGUUUCACAAUGCAAAGGCAUAUUAGCAAAGUUGUAAUGUAUAAGACAUAGUUCCCAUCCCUUCUCCAUAUAUAUGUGUGUGUACACCUAAUAUAUAUAUAUAUAUAUAUAUAUGUAUAUAUAUAUGUAUAUGUAUAUGUAUAUGUCUGUCCAUUUUCCAUAUGUGUGUAAACAAUCCAUACAUACUUCAUGUUGACAGUUCGCCAUUUACACCAACCAUAAACCUUCCUGGAACAACAUCAUUAUAACAAUCCAGAAGGAUAAGUUACAGACAAAUCCAUACAUGUUAAGAACUUUUGGUAGGGAAUACAUCCUUUAAAUAUCGAUAUUUAACUUAUGUCUAAAAAUGAUACAACUAUGGCUAAUUACCUGUACACAUAAGAGGGCCUACUGGCAUCUUAAAUGCUUCAAAGUUAUGGUAGAAGGCAAAUAGACCUCUUCUAUCUUAACCAUUAGUUAUUCAUUUAACAAAAAAUAUUAUUGCCUCUUGAAGAGUGUGGCCCCAAAAAGAAUGUUAAUAAUACCAAUUUAAUUUUUUCCAUAUUUUCAGGGGAUGGGGGGACUUGCCUUCCCUUUGCCCCUGCUGGCUCCACCUGUGCAUGCCAAUGUUGACCAGGGAUUGACAUGGCACAUGCUGCAUGCUGUGGGCAUGAUACCAAUGACAUGAACACAAGCAUUUUUUGAUUUUUUCAGAUUAGGUUACUUUAAAUUAUUUCAUGAUAUUGUUAAGAGUUGGUCCAUGCAUUAAACAAUAAUCUAAAGCUAUAUAUAUAUAUAGUGCGAUCCAAUUUAACUACGUUACCCUAUCAUACAAUUAUGGUGUAGCUUAACACUAUAGUAGAGUAAUGUCACAGCUACAGUAAUGUCAGAUGGGGAUCUUCUAAGUACUCCCCAGCCAACAAACAAACCCUUGCUGGCUCCGACUGGUUCAGGGUAUACAUUUUAGGAUUUGAGGUCUGGUUUUGGGGAUUGGGCUUUAGGUUUAGGGUUCAGUACAGGGCAGUACCAUUUUGUAUCAUUCUAUAGGCUGUAAAACACAAUUACCUCUGCACACAUGCAAGGCCGGUACCAAAACCAGCCCCAAUACGAUAAGUGUGGCCAGCAUAGAACAACAUGGAACAUGAUCCAAAAUCUGAUUUCCAUUAAGGUUCUUGAACAUUUUCUUUGGAUAGAUAAUGGUACUCAACUAUUAGAAGACCGAAACUUACUAAAGCAGACCUUUGAAAAAAAUCAUCAUGCUUUGACAAUCCUAAUGAAGGAUGACAUUUUGAUUACAUAAGGGGACCAGGACAGAGUGAUCUUUUAUUGAAAAAGGACACAGCUUGAGAUGGAAAAAGAUAGGAAAUCAUUCAAAAAGUUGAUGGGCAUUUUGUUUAGAUAUAAUGAGUCAAAAAAAACAAGAAUAUGCGUUUUUUAGGAAUCAGUGGUGGUGCUUUAUUUAGACAAGCAGUUCUUUUCUAUGCUUUACAAAAAAUCCUAUAAUAUAAUUAUUAUCAACAAGCUUUAUCUCAUCUAUCCGGUCCAACUUUAAAGAAUGAUGCAUGAUUAUGGAAUGUUGAAGAAUGUUACAAGGCCAGCUAUCAGCCUAGCAUCAUCGGCUCUUAAAUCCAGGCCACGGCAUCUCUGGAUAAAAAAGGAACUUACCAUGAAACAAAAAGCCUACUUGUUGGGUAAAAGAUUAAUCUUCUUGAUCACACAACUUAAGCUCAUGCAACUGCAGAGCAUAUAUUAAAGAACAUAGAAUUAGGUUUCUAAAUGGUCUUAUUGGUUACCACUUGAUUCCAUCUUUUCUUCUUCUUGCACUUCCUCGUCUUAAAUGUUCUUUUUCUUGCCCUACUAUUUUUUCACUCUUCUCUUUAUUUCUUUUUUUCUAAAAUAAACUCUCUCACCAUUAAUCAAUCACAUAUAGAUGGUAUGAGUUUGUUCUUGUAUGCUAUUUUCAUCAUACAUACAUGGUGCACGAAGGCUCUCCACAGACAUGCAUUAAUAAUGAAAUUCAUACUUAACCAAAGAUCCUAACUCUAUCAUCAUGCUUAACAAAUUAGACAACUUCGUACGGAGAAAAGCUGACACCUUGCCACACAAAUGAAUUUCCACAAAGGAAAUGAACUGUGGUGUUGGUAAGAGGAACUUGAAUACCUAUGUAAUAGAUGUAAUUGUGUAUGUAACUCCUGAUUUCACAAAAUUUUACUCAUAGUAAGAGAUUUACUGUUAUCAUCAUGAAAGAUUGAGGAAUCUAUACAAAAAGGAGAAAAAAAAUUUUCUUCUACCUGAGAUUGCAGGAUAUGCAUAUGGUGCAGAAUGAUAUCUGGUUUUCAUCAUCCCCACUGAAGCCAUAACUACUUCAGGUCUUGAAUAGCUGUCCUCUCUGAAAUGAUUUGGAAAGCUAUCUGCCGAUGGUAAUCCUCCUGAGGUUCCCAAGAAUAGUUCUGAACUUUGUGUUAGAAUCUGACCAUGGUUCCAGACAGCAGCCAAGGAGUAUGUCUGUCUGUUUCCCAUGGGAGAAAGCAGAAAUCUAAUCACUGCUCGGUCUGGACUUUAACUAGAUAAUCAGAAGUUAUGCAAGCCUGCAAGGUUCUAUCAGUCAAAACACGCGUGAAAUAAAUGCUCAUCAUUAGACAUGUUUGAAUGGAAAGUCUUAUGUGCAUCUAAAGGAAUCCAUCCAAUAAACAGUCAGGGGAAUUAAACAGAACUAGCUUAGAAGAAUGAGACUCACUUCUUUGAUAGUCUACGGACUAUAGAAAGUGGAAGCCUUGACGUGUAACGUAAAGCCUCAUGAUUUUCCUUGUAAGGUAUAGAUAUCUAAGAAAAAUAAUGAUAUAACUGUUAGAAUUCAUCUGAUUUUCAGUUGUUUCCAUAUUCAUUUAUUGGGGUUUUUGUGAUGUUUUUGUCUUAUACCAAUGAAUUAGAUCUUGGAAUCUACGAAAACCUUCAAAUAUUAGAACCAGCCAUUCCACAUUCUGCCACAGUUGAAAGGAGCAAGGAUUAUGUUACUCUUAUCUUCCACUUUAGACUCUGUUUAUGGGCUUUUGGCCCAAUGGCCAUGUGCAUAUCCACCCAAUCUCGCAUCGCACGGAAGGCCAGGAUGUAGUCGGGUGUGCAUGUGAACUUGUUCUCCUUUAUAUUUAAUUUAAAUGUUUGCAAUUAAAUCCAUUCUAAGCCGUUGGGAUCUCUGGCAUGCAAAGCUUCAAUUCCUGUGGGACAAGGCCAUCACGGCUUUUUCAUGAAACGAUGUGCCAUGUCUUGACACUGAAGAUGGUGGAUGUCCUGCCCUGUCUGGUCACAGUCCUUGUAACAUCCCGACGCUUAGGACAGUGUGACAUUCAGCCAUCCCACCAGGAUUUAAAUACUUGCUGGUAGGGGAUGGUAGGCAUUGAGCUCUAGUUUAAUCGAGGUGAUAGUUUAGCUAUUCGAUGCCAAGGGGUCCUAUCGGCAACGGCAGGGGAGAGCACAAGGCAAUAUAUAGGUGAAGUUAUAGCUUGAGAGCUGCACUGCUGCAUCAACUUCACAAGAGGGGGCUGAUAAAGCUCUUAGCAUAGUGAAUAUAUGUGCUUAGAUCCCAAACCAGGCUUUACUUUUGUUUGUUCUUAUUCUCUAUUAUAUCAUAUUAUUGCUAUUAUCUUGCAUACUUAACAAUAGUUAGCUUUUGAUUUUUCAGUUCACACAAACUGCAUGCAAAAAUUCAAAAAAGAUUCAUAUCUUUUUUUUGUAAUGUCUAUACCUAUUAAAUAGACAAGAGAGAGAAACUUGUUGCUCUCCAAUAAUCGUUAAAAACUAAAAAGUUAGCGAGACAACCUAUCUCACUCCCAUGUCAUCCAUAUAAUCGCUGCCCUAUUAAAUGCCAAAAUAAAAGGAAAGGAUUAAUUUUAGAGACUCCAUUGAUUUUGGGAUAUCCUAAAGUGGAACCCUUUAUGACUUUCUUUUCCCUUCAAUACUGGCAUUGAGAAUCAAACGCUUGGCCAAAAGUUAGUAAAAUCAGAAAAUUUCAAAUAAUAAGUAACAACUUCAAAUAAAUUGCCGUGUCAUCCCAUAUGUCCCGACAUGCUCAGUUGUUGCCUUAGGAAUCCAAACAUUCAUUCCAUAUAUGCUCAACUCUUUUGAAAUUGUUUGACCAAGAUUUUAAGUAUCAACCUGCACCAAGACAUAUCAUACUAACUCGGUAAGGUAUUAGUACAUUGCAGGGGCUCAAUACACCCUCUACCUACAUAUGAUAGGUGUUGUGCUUACUCUAGUAGGGUAUCAUGCGUUGGUAUGGGCACAUAAUACCAUCGAUAAGUUGCUAGCAUAGGGCCUUGACAACAACAUGGGGGCAUACCUAAUGCAGACAAAAAUACCCUGCCUCAAGAUUUGUGCCACGGCCCAAACAGCAACAUCAAAGCAAAAUGGGCAACUCCUGAGGAGUUUAAAUUGAUGGCCAUCAUAAACAAGUGGUGGCACUUGACUUAUAGGUGCCCAAAGAGCUCAAACUUUUGCAGUGUUGGAAUGCAUCCUAGGUAGCAGGAGCAUAAAAGCAUAGAAAAUAAUGUAGAAAGAAUUUCAAGAUGAAACACUUCUAAUUUGUUCAUAUUCAAAUAGACUUUCUAGCACAACUUGAAUCAUAAUAAUUGGAGUUUAGAUGAAGAAGUUAUGGCCAAUUUAUUGAAGAUCUGUCCUUGCUGACAAAGUGGCAGUUAUUUACGAAGAUACCAUUUGCGACCUUAAAAGCAAGAGCUUUUUUUUCUUAUAUUUUUAACUAGAUUUUCUUAUUUAUUUCUUCUAAAAAUAAUUGUCAGAGGAGUUAGAAGUCCUAUCGUACUAGGAAAACUAUUUUUUGCUAUUAUCUCUUUAUUUUCUAUAGAUAGAUGUGUCUUACAGGAAUUUGGAAAGCCUAAAGAUCUUGGAAGACCUCUGUCAUAAAUACCCAUAUACGCCUCCCUUUUGUAUCAUAAUGAAUUGAAUCAAAGCUUUUGAGUUAUCUUUGUGAAAGAUCUUGAUGGUGUGACUCUGCCUUGCCAUGGUGCCACUUCAUAGCAACCUUCAUGCAACUCAAAGGCUCUUAUUAUAGUGUGACUCUGAAAGGCUCUACUCGAAGCUGGUAUAACAUCGGUGGUAAUGUAGGAAGCCAGGUAAAGAUCGGCAUGACUCUAGUUGGAUUAAGGGAUUUGGUUGAUCAGAAUCUAACUAGUUAUCCUAAGUUAAAUUAACUUCAAACUCUAUUAUAUUUCUCGCUUUCUAAUUCUAGUUUAGAUUCAAAGCCUUCUAGUAGAAUUAUUUUUUUAGUUAUUUUCUUUUAUCAAUAAUUAUUGUAAAAUCAAAAAUUAUUAUUUUAUUCUUUUUGCAAUUCUAGAGAAUCCUAGUUCCCUCUCAGGGUAGGAGAGGCUUUGUUCAGGUUAGUUUAUUUUAAUGGUAUCGAGCAUCCUAGGUAAUCUUACUCGCGGACAUCCUUCAUCAAUCACUUCUGCAACUCGAGUUAGGCCAAUGCACUAUGCACACAACACGACCUCAGCAGUCGGAUCCCUAGUCCUCAAAUUCCCGGCCUGCAUCAGUAGCUCAGUACUAUACCAUACCAAUAAGUUAUCGAAAUAGGGCUCUAAAUCAAGACUUAAGAUAUUGUGCCUGGCUAUUACCUUGUGAAUCCAAAUAUUUCAGACUAUUUAAAUUUUGGACAUGAUUUACUCAAACCUGACCCAUUGACAUCCCUACAAAUGUUACUUCCACUUGAGAAAUACCAAAAUAAUUAGAAGAUAUACGAAUGGCUUUUGGAUCAGCUUUAUUUGUCAAGAAACAAAACUCAAAAUUCAUUUUCCGUCUUGAUUAGUUGACUUAAAACAGCCCACAUUAAGCAAUUCAUCCUACCUUUUCCUUCCUUGCUCACCUAGUUUAGAAAGGGUUUCAUCUCUUUUUCCACAGAACAUAGAUAUCUAUUAAGAUCCAAGGAAACUUGCAAGGAAGUAAAAAUAUCUUCCAAUUCUUUUUUUCUUUUUUAUCUCCUUUUGCUAUUGUCUAAUUGUAUCCGACUUAGUUCGCUCCCUCUCCUUUUAAACCUUAGAAUAAAGAGGCUCUGAAAAGGAUUUUGCAAUUUUAUUUGUUUCUUUUCUUUCGGACAUAAAGAUCCCCUCAAAACAAAUUUUCAAUUAUGACUCUCAAGUCUCAACAAAACUACUUAAGUCUAAUGAUGUGAGAGAUAUGUUCGACAUAGCAAAUGAACACACAAAGAAAAAUUGAGUAGAUUUGAUUGCAAAAUUUAGUAAAAAUCAUACUCCACAUGCCUUAAAGUGGACAAAACUUAAUGCUUAGUAGACAGUUAUGGAUAUUAAUAUACUUAAGCUUGAUAUUUAACUCACACAAAAUGUCCUGCAAAAUUUCUAAAAAAAUAUGCAUCUUUUCUCAUUUUCCCUUAACUCCAACUAAUCUAAUAGAUACGAGAAAGAAAUCUUUCCUCCACCGCCCCCCCAACCCCCCCCCCCCCCCCCGCGCCCCAACACACAAAAGAAAAGCUGAAAAAUCUAGAGAAAACCAGUGAAAAAACCUAGCUUGCUGCCAUGUCAUUAAUAUUUGAACUGCCAGUUAAAUGCCAAAAAAAAGAGAAGGAUAGAUUUUGGUGAUUGUUGUUCACCUCGAUUAUUAAAUAUUCUAAAUAGGAAGUCUCUUAGAAGUUAGGAUCUUUGUCCCCUUUCAUAGUAGAGUUAUGAGAAUCUUGCGUAGAAACCACAAAAAAAGAUGAACAUACUUGAGUAAAAGGCAUUAUUUCACCCUAAAACUGCCUUGUCAUCCGCCCCCUUUCAUAGUAUAGUUAUGAGAAUCUUGGGUAGAAACCACAAAAAAAGAUGAACAUACUUGAGUAAAAGGCAUUAUUUCACCCUAAACUGCCUUGUCAUCCGAUAGUUUUCCACACGCUCACAAUUGCUUGAAAUCCAAAUGUUAGAUGACAUCAAUGGGUCGACCAUCGGGCCUAAUUUUAUAUUGUUCCAGCUGGAUCACUUUGUUGGGCCUACUGAAAAUUUUGGAUAUGCUGCCCAGACCCAAUCCACUAACGGUCCAAAAAAAUUCCAUAGAAACUAACCCACCUUUUUGAACUUUUGGAUCAACUUCAUUUGGACUUUGUAAAGAAUCCGAACUUGGAAAGUCAUGUUUACUCUUGAGUCUUGACUGAUUUACAACCAUCAUGUCUGAACAAUUAUAUAUAUACAUAUAUUCACAAAAAUAUACCCACAUAUACAUAUAUAUGCACACGCAUAUAUAUAAUAUAUAUAUAUAUAUACAUAUAUAUAUAUACACACACAUACAUACCAACAAACAUACAUAUAUACAUAAAAUUCUCUUUCCUUCCUAACUCAGUUACUGUAUAUAGUAUAUACAUUAGCUGCAUUUCAUCUUCUCCUGGACAAAACACACCUAUCUAUUAUAAUAUAAGGAAACCUAUGAGUGCAUAGAUCUUCUCAAUUGUUGCUUCAUCUUUUUUUCUUCCCUAUUCUUGUUUGUUAGUGUUCUAAGUUCUAAGUUCUAACUGUGUCUGACUUCAUUAACUUCCUCUCUUAAUCCUAAAAAUGAGAUAAUAGAUAGAAGUUCAAGCCAUCACAUCAAUUUAUUGGAAGAUUACUAAGAUGCAUGAACCUGCAAUUAGGGUUUAUAUAAAUUAUCAACUAGACUGAACAAGAUGAAUGAUGAAAGUGAAACCUUAUUAUUUUUAAAAUUGUUUCUAAAAUCUUCAGAGCUUUGGGUAGCAAAUCCAUUACUUUCAAAAAAGAGUAAAAAUAAAAGCAGGAAAAGCAGAAGUUUUGUGCAAAUGUUGUAUUCAAUAUCAAUCUCCAUAUGCCAUUUCACAAAUGUUAGAUAAACAAAAACACAGAAACAAUGAUGAUGCCAAACAGGCCGUCAAUUAUUUUUGUAGUUUUUUAAUAAAUUACUAGGUGGCUGCCACCUGAUUAUUUGAACUAUGUUAAUAAAAAAUGAGCAUUAAAUGUUGGGUCAAAAAACAAAAAGGAAGGUGUAACACAGCUAGACAGUAGUUGCAGAAUAAUUUUAAAGAACUUUAUGCUGACCAUGUUUUUACCUUGAUAAGAAGAAAAAGGGAAGAUAGGUUUAUUAGGCAAAAAAGAAAUAAACAACAAGGUACAUUCGUUUUGUUUAUUCUCAAGCUUGAAUCAUGUCAUAAAGAAAUGUCGGCAAGAGCAAUGCUACAUGGAAAGGCAUCGCCAGAGAAAUGAGAGGAUGUGACUAAGAAGUUGAGGAAAAAAUGAUAGCAUAAUAAACAGACUGUCCUUCUAAUAGAGAAUUUGGUCCACUAAAUAACAGAUAAACAAGGAUUUCUCAGAAGUAACAGCACAAUACAGAAGUAGAUUCAUUCCAGAACAACAAACAAAACCACCUCCCACUAAGAACAAAAACUAAGAUCAACUUUAGAGCACAAAAAUCAGGUAUUUCUUGAGAUCCAAGAAAGUACCUGAAAUCUGGAGCUUCACAGCUUAGAAAAGAAAAACAUUGGCAGAAUGCAAGACCUCUCGCAUGUGAUGCAGCAAUAGAGAGAUUGGAAGGUACUAAGGUUCGACUUCUCAAAACCCUCACUUCCAAUACUCGAAACCCUUGCUGGAAGAGUAGCAUUUCUGGAGAAAAACAACAUAAAACAAUCUCCCAGAAAGGCCACUCAAGUCCUCAUCUAAAGCUAGGGGCUUCUUGGAGAAGCUUCUUGCCUCAGAAGUCAAAUUUCUCACCUAACCUCACCCAACACCUCAUGCUUCUUUCCCAAAGACCCCCACAACAUAAACUACUAUUACAAAUAAGACCAAGAGAUCAAAAUGACCCAAAAUAUGUCCCAAAUAAGACUUGACAAGAAUUGGGAAACUAAGUAACAAAAACACCCCCGGAC
Molecule: long non-coding RNA, 75696 nt
Filed under: Phoenix dactylifera (date palm)
Lineage: Eukaryota; Viridiplantae; Streptophyta; Magnoliopsida; Arecales; Arecaceae
Description: long non-coding RNA (PDAC_LNC004410)
Source: RNAcentral